UUUUGCAUCGUAAACUGAUAUUCAUUAAUUAAAGGGUAUGGCUCAAAAACAUAUUUGACAGAACAAAUAACCCCAAAGAAAAGAAAUGACAAAAAAGUAAAACAUGUCUAACAAAACAAGCAAAGAAUACAGAAAUGCAAAACCAGAAAACGAAACGCAGCCACAAAACCAAACCCCCUAAAGAAAACCCAACGAAGAAUAUCAGCCAAAAAUCUUUCCUUUCAACACUAGAAAUCCAUCGCAGCUCGAAGCAUGAAAGAAAAUAGUUUUGAAAGCCAACUAUGGAGAUUCAAAAGAACCUUCUCCAAUCUUCAAAGCCCGACAACAAAUCAUCAUCGCUGAUGGAGCCAAUCCAUCCGAUCCUAUUCCACCAGUUUUUCAACAGAAUCUGGUGCCUCCUCAACCCAGAAACAUGAAGUGUGUCGCUGACGCCCAUCCAUCACCAGAGCAUGCGCCACCCUGUUUACUUCUCUUCGGACAAAAUGGUAAGCAAUUUCCUCAAAAUAUCCCUCUAACAACCGAAUACUCUGUGAAAUUGGUCUGAGUAUAGAUCUGUCCUCUCUUUUUUAUUUAAGCCUCUUGAUAAUCGUUACGGAAUCCCCUUCCAGUAUGAUCUUCCUGGAACCCAUGUCAAAUGCAAAACAAAGAGCUCUUUUACAAGCCCGAGCUUCUACAACAAAAGCAUCUGCAACACCUAUAUAAGGGUAAGUACAUGCACUCAUUAUUUGGCCCUCUUCAUUUUGAGUUAAGACUGCUGCAAAGAGAAUUUGAGACCUUCAUGUACCAGCUUGUUUCGUUUUUACCACAGAGCCCAGAAAGAUAUAGUUAAAAUUUUCCCGGUAUUCUCAUCCCUGCAAUUAAAGUACUUACUAAUUGUGUUUUUCCAUCCGAGGUAUUCCUGCUUGGGUCGAAUGACAGGUUCAAGAGCAGCCAAAAUUGUCGCAAAACACCACAGGACCACAUUAAAUGGUCCAAAUCCUCUUGGGCCUCCUUGCACAAGGGACAGACAUUAUCAACACUUAGUCUCCGUUUGGCCAAAUUAUUAAAAUGAGGCACAUAAUCCUUGAGUAAACACCACAUAUGAAUUUUAAUUUUAGAAGGGAGCUAUAAAUCCUAAAGCAAUUUGUAAAAAGUCUUGUAAUUGUCAAUUGUAUUCAAAUUACAUUCAAAAUGCUGAAUCUUUCUUAUAAAUAAAGCCCGAUACCCACUCUUCACCGAAUACUCCCCUGACAUUGUGGCACCAAACCAACAUAUCCUUGUCUCUGGAGCUUGCAAUUAGAAUAUUUAAAAUGCAACUAGCUUGUUCGCGAUCAACAAUCCUGCAAAUCACCUCCUUGUUCUAGGUACUCGAAUCCACAUCAAUUAAUUGAUUCACUGUUGACUAGCGAGUAUCAAUAUUCUGAACUAACAAUCUACCAUUACCAGGACCAGGCAACCAAGGAUCAUUCUAGAUAUUCACACCCGCGCCACUGCCGAUUCGCCAAAGUAAACCAUCAUCAAUCAAUUCCCUAGCACUGCAGAUGUUUCUCUAGGUAAAAGAGGGGUAAGAACAAACUUUUGCUGACAUAAUACCUUUGAAAGGGUAAUAACGAGCUUUAAAGACUCUUGCUAAAAGACAAUCGGGCUGGGAUAGAAGUCGCCAAACUUGUUUAGCUAAUAGGGCUUUAUUGAACAAAAAUAGGUCCCGAAAUCUCAGUCUGCCAUCAGCUUUGGGAAAACAAAGUGCACUCCAAUUGCUCCAAUGAAUUCCUUUGGUUGUUUUAGAAUUAGACCACCAAAAUUUAUUCAAAAUACCUUCUAGCUGUUGGCAUAAGGUUUUCGACAAAACAAAACACUGCGUAACGUAAACAAGAAUUGCUUGAAGCAUCGCUUUUAUAAAAACUUCCUUGCCCCCCAUCGAAAGAUACAGAAGACUCCAACCCUCAAUUCUUCUUCUGAAUCUGUCCACAAAGUUUGCAAAAGCCCAUCUUUUCUUUUUCCCAACCAUCAUUGGCAAGCCUAAAUAUUUCUCUAGGUUUGUUGUCACCAUAACACCCAAAAUGUUGGUUACUAAAUUCCUCCCCUCAGGACCCACGCUUGCACCAAAAUAAAUAAGUGAUUUAUCCAAAUUAACUUGUUGCCCCGAUACCAAUUCAUAUUCCAUAAUAACGUUACAGACGAUAUGAGCUCCCUCACCUGAAGCAUCACCAAAAAGGAUGCAGUCAUCAGCAAACAACAGAUGGAUAAUUGCUAAUCUUCCCCUACCAAUCGGAGCACCCCUCAUCAGAUUAUUAUGUUUUUCCUCAUUCAGCAAAAUAGAAAGCCUUUCAGCGCAGAUUAGGAAAAGAUAAGGGUUGAACGGAUCGUAUUUUCGCAAACCUCUUGAUGGAGUAAAACGAUCACUAAUGUCCUCAUUAAUUCCCACUGUAUAGGUAACUAAACAAACACACCACAUAAUUAGAACGAUCCAAUCUUGAUGAAAACCCAAUCUAGACAUCAUUCCAGCUAAAAAAUAUGAUUCAACGCGAUCAUACGCUUUACUCAUAUCGAGUUUGAGCAUAAAAUUCCCUCGUUUACUCCUCUUCUUCAUUUUAAGAAAGUGUAAGACCUCAUAAGUAAUUAAAAAUUAUCCGAAAUGUGUCUCACUGGAAUAAAAGCUCAUUAAGUUUCAUCAAUACAACGUCCUAACAUUGGACUCAUACGAUCUAUCAGAACUUUCGCAAUAAUCUUAUAAAUCACAUUACAUAAGCUUAUGGGUCUAAAUUGAGAGAGAUUUUUCAAUUUUUCAACUUUGGCAAUUAAAACUAAAUGGGUUUUUAUUGAUCUCACUUAUUUCAAUCUCACCAUUUAAAAUAGCCAAGCAAUAGCUAGAAAUCUUAUCACCUACAAUAUGCCAGUACCUUUAAUAGAACAGUGCUGGAAAACCGUCAAUCCUUAGAGCCUUUAGGGGCGCCAUCGACUUUUCAGCAUGCCAAAUUUAGUCCUUAGUGAAAGGUUUAAGCAGCUCAUCAUUCAUACUUGUUGUGAUCAUUUGCUCAACAAGGCCAAGCACUAUAACAACCCAAUUUUUAGUAGUGUCAGAACAGUGAUUUGAGAUCCGAUGAAAAAGUUAGAAAAAUUUAUUAAUUAAUAAUAUAAGUUAAGCGUGAUUUUAGAAAUAUUUUUGAAUUAGUGAUUUUUUUGAUUUAAAAGAAAUUAUUAGGUAAAUUAGGUCGAAAACAAGGUAUUGAGACCUCAAUAUUAUAAACUGAGCCAUAAAUAUUUAUAUUUACGGAGCGUCAUUAGGGUAGUAUUAAAGUUUCGUUAAGAAAUUUUAACGUUUCGAUGGUUAAUUGAUUAAAAAGGAUAAAAUUGAAAAAAAAUGUAUUCCCGGGACUCCAUUUUGAUAAAUUAGACCCGUAAAAUAAUUAUUAAAAAUAUUUAUAGAAUUAGUCAUAUCAACAAUUGGAUUUUAGUUAAGUGAAUUUAGUUAAAUUAAAGUUAAUUGAGUAUUAGGAUUAAAUUGAAUUAAGUGUGAAAGUUAAUUAUAAAAUAGAAAAAGGUGAAAGGACUAAACUAAUAAUUAAACCAUAAAAAGUAAUAGGUGUGUGAUAAUUAUAAAUACAUGUGUAAUAAAUAUAUGUAUACAUUUGUAAUUAAUAUAUGUACAUACAUAUUAAUUAAGUAAAAGAUAUUUAUAUAUUAUAUUAUUAUUAAUUAAAUAAAAGAAAUAAAGGAUAGAAAAAGAGAAUAGAAACAGAAUAGCAAAACGAAAACAGGGGAGAAAGGAAAGAAAAAGAAAAAGGGAAGGAAAGAAAGAAAAUUUGAGAUUUCAAGGUUCAAGGUUUGAUUGGUAAGCCAAUUUAGUCCAUUUUCUUAUAAUUUUUGAGUUUUUGGAAUCCUAGAACAAAGUAUUAUUGGAUUUAUGUUGAAAUUUUGGAAGUUAUUAGAUUUCUAGACAUUGAUUAUGUUGAAUAAAUGAAAGAAUUAAGGGUUAAAUUAAUUUAAUUUCAAGUUAAAAGUUAGUAAAGGAUUUAAUUGUAAAAUAAAGUGUAAGUUUUGAAUAGUAGGGACUAAAUUGAAAGAAUCUCGAAAUUAGGGAUUUAUGAUAAAAAUUAGAUAGCUAAGUUUAAGUUUAGUUGAAAUUUGAGUAGAAAUGAGGUAAAAAUUGAGAUGGUAAAAUAAAUGAAUUUAGUUAGGGAUUAAAUUAAAAUUGAGAUGAAAAUAAAAUAGAAAUUCAAGUAUUAGAUGAAAAAUUAAUAUUGUAUUAAUGAUUAUGAAAAUUAUCUUAAUUUUUCGUAGCUAAUAUCGCAUCCGAGGCAUCCACGAAGAAAGAAAAAGAAAAAGUGGACGAGGCGUAGACACAAGAAUCACGGUUUGAAUUACUAUAAUUCAAAUCUAUUUAUUAUUAAUUGUUAUAUUUUAAUUAAAAUGCAUGGUAAGUAAAAUUAGGUAAGCAAUUGAAAUGAUAAUAGUGAUUUUGAUUGAAUCAAAUUGAAUCGAAUGAAGAAAAUACGCGAGAAUUUGAAAUGUAUAUUGAUUGAAAAAUAAUUAGUGAUUUGAAUUUGAUUGGAAAAUGAAUUAAAAAUAUGAAUUGAAUAACAAUGAAUUAAAUUAUGAUUAUGUGUGAAUAUGUGAAUUGUGUAUUGAUUGAAAAGUGGUUUGAAAUGAAUCGAAGUAUGAUUAUAUGUGAAUAUCUGAAAUAUGUAUUGGUAUUGAAUUGUAUAUUGAUUAGAAAGUAGAAAGUGAAUUUGAAAUAGAAAAAUGAUUUGAAUACCCUAUUAACUAGUCGGGCUGAGUCAGAUAUAGUUGGCAUGCCAUAGGAUUGGAAGUGUUCAGGGAUACUUCGACCUUGAGUUGAUGAGACACUGGGUGUCAUACUGUUACUUCGGAUAGAUUCGAUGAGGUACUGGGUACCAACUUACUUCGACUUGGCCGAUAAGACAUUGGGUGUCAACUAUUGCUUUGAACUAUCCGAUGAGGCACUGGGUGUCAUUCUGGUGUGUUUGGUUGGAUCCGUGUAUCCGCCAAGGUCCGAAUCUUGUUAAUAGGGGUAAAUAAUUGAAAUGAGAAAAUUUUGAAUAAGUGUGAUUGAUUGAGCUAUAGAAAGAAAUGAGAAAGUGAAAUUGUGAAUUGAUAUGUGAAUUGGAAAUCGAGAUAUGAGAUUUGAAGAUAUGAACCCAAAGUUCAUGAUGUGAUUAAGAAUAAAUUUUUGUUAUAUGAUAUUAGUGAGUACAAAUUGCAAUAGAGUUGAUAUUGAAUAUAGUGAUAAAUUGAAUGAAUUGUAUAUGAAUUGAAAUGAACUAUUUGAAUGAGAUGUGAAAAAUCCAAUGGAAUUGAGAUAGUGAAAUAAGGUCUAAGUACAAUUAAAUACAAGAUUUGAAAUAUUGCUUAUUGUUAUUAAUUAUCAAGUUGAUUUAAUGUAUGAGAUAAUUAAUGAAUAAUUGUAGACAUAAAUUAAAUGUAUAUAAUUUAUCGAUUAAUGUUAUUAAUUUAAAUUAUGGUAAUACUACUGAGUAUUCACAUACUUAGCGUACGGUUGUUUCCGUGCGCAGGUUAGUAGAAAGCUAGUGUCCGGUCCAGCAUCCAGAGCAAUCCCGACCUCAGAGAAAUUUCAGUGAUGUACCUUUGUUUUGAUAAUGUGGCAUGUACCUAGGUGAUGUAUAGGUUAAGUAUAAGAGUUUUGUUAUUACGGUUGUAGAAUGAUGUUUAAAUUGGUUAUAAGUAUGAAAUGGAACUAAAAUGACAUAAUUUAUACAAAUAUGAAAUGAAAAUGAUUAAAGUAUGCUAUGUCUGUUAUUUAUUUGUGAAUUAGUUAUAAGUCAUCCGAUAUGUCUGGUAAUGCUCCAUAACCCUGUUCCGGUGACGGUUUAGGGUUAGGGGGUAUUACAAGCACCCUGUCAUCACCCCCUGUUUCAGAAGUCGUAAAAAAAUCACCAAAAUACUUCAAGGCAACCUACAACGUUUUCUCUGUUUGAGAAACCCACUGCUCAUUCUCCUUUUCCAAACCAAGUAUCUGAUUGCGACUAUGGCGAGACACAGUGACUUUGUGGAAGAAAUUCAUAUUACGAUCACCAUUCUUUAACCAAUUGACUUGUGCAUGUUGUUCCCAAAAAAACUUCCUCUUUAUCCGUCUCCAGGUUCAACCCUAUUUGCACUUCCAUAAUUUCAGUCAAAACCUCAUCAGUUGGAUCCCGAUUUUAAAGAUCAAACAAUCUUUUUUCCAACACCAGAUGGUGUCUUUUUUGCUCAUAGGUUCUUGAACGACUCCAAAUUUGGAAUUGUUAGCCCGCUGUUGCUAAUUUAACAAGAAUACUAGCAUUUUGAUCAACCCAAGCCUUUCAAACUGUUUCUUCAAAAGAUUGGUCUAAAUACCACCUUGUUUCGAAAUAAAAAUGCGUAGACCCAUGGCUUUUCCUACGUCGCAAGUUUCCAGUAGUAUUUAGAAGAACCGGGCAAUGGUCCAAUAUCGAAUGACUCAAAUGCUCUACUGAAUAUCUUGGAAAAAGGUUCAUCUAGCCCAAACUCGCAAGACCCUUGUCAAGUAUUUCCCUUAUGUUGGUAGAUAAAAAUAUUCCUCUAUCCCACGAGAACCACAUACCAAUAAACCCCAAAUCAUAAAAACGACAAUCCUCCAAAACAUUUCUAAACGCAACCAUUUGUCGUUCAGACCGAAGUCGUCCCUCUCUUUUUUCAAAAGAGCUUGUAAUCUCGUUAAAAUCUGUAAUCACAAGCUAAUGGACUGAUUGGUCAUGCCCAGAUGGUUAAGAAGUUCUCAAGACCCCCGCCUAUAGCGUUCAUCAGGAUUUCCAUAAAAACCCGUAAGUCUCCAAGUCUCACCAUUUUCAGUAUCAUGAAUGUCAACAUCCACAUGGUAAUGGGAAUAACUUCUAAACGAAACCAAAAAAUUACCUUUUCGGCUCAAAGAUAAACCUCUCUUUGAUCCAAUUGCUCCAAUAUCUAUACCAUUCGGAAAACCACAUUUCAAUCUCACCAUUUUCAUCUUUUUAGAGUUCAACUUUAUUUCCAUCAUAAACAAAAUACGGGAAUUAAUGGCCCUUAGUUUAUUUUUGAGCCAGUUUAUAGUCUGUGACCUCCCCAAAUCAUGGACAUUCCAGCUAAUUAGCUUCAUUGCGCCUAGCUGCUCUGCCCUGCAGAGCUAGCCAAUAUAUCAUUAACUCCUCCAUCGAAAUUAUUACUCGAGAGAUUAACUAAAUCAUUCACCACACGCUGGCGUUUCUUACCUUCCAAAGUAUGAAGCGGGUCAUUUUCUUCAUCUAAUUGCAGUUUCAUAGGCCCAUGUCCAUUGUCGGCCCCAUAUAACUCCCUAUUAAUCAUAUUGAGCCAUUUGUCAAUUUCCUUAUUUAGCGCCAUUUGACUAGAUCCUAAAGGAAUAAAAUUAGGAUUUGGAUAAGAUUUAGCCAACUCACCCCCACGACUACUCCCAAAAUCACUCUCAUUCCUUAAAUUUUGGCCCCGAAAUUCUCUUUCCUUAUCCAACAAAUUGCAUUCCGAUCCAUCUACUUCCCGAAGCCACUUGCUAACUGUUGCAUUGCGCUGUCUCACCGCCGCACGUAAAGAGAUAUCCCAACCAAAAACUAUUUUUGAAGGAUCCACUCUGAUACGAAAAGGGCCAAAACUCUCUCCAUGGCCGAGCUUCCCACAAAUAAAACAAAAUAAACUUAGUUUCUCGUACUGAAAAUAAGCAUAGACAAUCCGAUCCUUGUCGAUCAGAAUCUUCUUCUUUUUCAACAGAAUUGUCACAUCCAACCGAACCCGAAUACGCAUAAAAGAUUGAAAAUUCAUCGAUCAAAACGAUGUGUUAUAGUCAAUAAACUGUCCUAGAAAAGCCCCAAAUUGUUUAGCCAUAGAUUCUGUCAUUAAACCCGAUGGGAGAUCAUGAAUUUGGACCCAAAAUUCCAAUAAAUUUAGCAGAACUAAUGACGGACUCUCCCCUGGCUGGAUCCUAUGGAGCAAUAAUAAGUGAUUGUUGAAAAACCACGGUGUUCUCGCAAGCACUCUUUGAACGUCCACCUCAUGAAAAAAUUGAAAAAGGAAUCGUUUCUCUCCCAAAUCUGAAAUACAUAUUCCCCAAAUAGGAUGCCAAAAAUAUGCAAUGCCUAUACAGAAAUAAUAAAACAAUGGCAUGACAUGCUCAAACCCCGCAUCGAAGCUUCCAAUAAACGCCAUGAAUGAGCCAUCCUGAUAUCAACUGAUAAGCUUUUUGCGUCAAAUGAACUCCAUCCCAGCUUAUAUAUUCAUCUGGAUUUUUACACACUCCCACUUCUGCUGCUCCACACAUUUUGUUCAGCUCCAUGUUGUAAUCUCCUCCUAUCCCACAACAAGCUUUUUGUGUUGAAUUUGGAUCCAAACCUAUUCAUAUAUUAAUAAAUCAGAACAAUUCUAAAGUAGACAUAUAUUAUGUCCAUCUAUCAUUGUAAAAAAGAACUUACCAAGAAAUUUAGCUUUGUUCAAAAGCCUCAUGUAUCCAUUGUAGUAGUCGCCAUACAAUAUGGUGGCAUGAGGGAGUUCUUUUCUCAAUUCUUUAAUAGCUUGUUUGAGAAGGCCGUUAUGAUGGCUUGACAAGUUGUUCAAGUCCUUGAGGCAAUUGAAACCGUCGUAGGCAUCGGAAUCGUUGGACCGGAAUACCGUGAGGUGGACCGGGAAGCAGCCUAUUGGAAAGUUUCCGGGAACAAUCACUCGAGUGGCACCAUAACCAACAACUCUCUGUGACACAUUAACAACAAACGUGGUUAAUGAGUAUAGUAUUGAAAUUGAAAUGAUUAUUAUACGAGUUCAAGAUUUAUCAUAAAGUACUUACUGUUACAGCAUCCUUUAUGGCUUGAAUAACCAAGGGCAUCAUGGAUCUGACUUGGUCAAAGGAUUUGCCUUGAAACAAGGCGUAGUUAUAAUCAUUCCCUCCAAUCUCCCCAACGAUGAAAAGAGCCGUUUUAAGCUUCUCCAAACAAUCUAUCAGACAAAACAUAAGGAUCAUAUAUAUUGUUCAGUUGAUGCAAAUUACUGAGGGUAAUUGUGGGACUAGACUAGUAAUUAACCAUCCUCAUCGUGGCAUAUGCCAUUAAAAUGGGUCAACAUCCAGUCAAGCUGCCUGCUAAGAGAAGAAUUGGUAACAGGGGCAACAACUCCAUUAUCAGCUAGAGUCUCCACAGGUAACGCAGUGGAGCCAGCAACCGCGAAAUUCACCCCACGGCCACGAGUGAAUAGUGCAUUACUGUUUAAGUAGGGCUGGAGGAAGGGGAUUCCAGCAGAUAAAGCUGUCCAAAAAGAAAUUACGUUUAUUAUAUGCCAUACAACGAGUUUUAGUUUUGCAUUGAAAUAUAAUAUGGAAAGUUCUGAAAAGGCAAGAGGAGACAUAUAUGAUUAUAUAAACAAACAUAAUUAAGAUGAUUGGACUGCCACAUAAUUAAAGGUUUAUUAAUAUCAUGACCUUUUCGGUCACUUUUUUAAAGUUAAAACUUUUUUUUUUCCCCUUAAAAGCUCAGUCAGAUUGAGCUGGAAACUAACUUUUCCAAAUAAAUUUGUCAGUUGGUCUCACGUUGCUAAAGUUUAUAAAAGAAACAUGUUAGGUCUGCGAUCUUAACCAAAAAAAAGUACUAUAUACUAUGUACUUGCAUAGCAUAAAUUUCAAAAUACUAAGCUUGUUUCAUAUACUAAAUGAGAAUCACAAAAAGAAGAAAGAAACAAAUAAGGAAAUUACCUAGAAAAUCGAUGAUGAGUAAGCCAUUGGAGCAUCUACCGGUUGCAUGCUUGAAGAAGGUUUCACCGUAAGGAAGCCUAGCAAAAGGAGAGAAAGGGUGCUCUCGGAUUAGAUUUCCGGUGUCGGAUAUGGAAUCCCCCAGCUGAUAUAUGGCAUCGAACUUGCAUGUCCUGAGAAUACCUGCAUUGCAUGGAGCUGAAACAAGAAGAAGAAGAAGAAGAAAGAGGGCGGGAACAUGAGUACAAAGGGAGGUAGCCAUCCUGAUUUUCAAGAGAGAAACAAAUAAGUUGGGAAAGCAAACUUUUUGGCUAAUGCCUGUGCCUUAUGCAACUCGUAAUGGAAUAUAAAUGGGGAAAAGUAGAGUUUGUCUUCGAAUCGUGGCAGUUUUAUGUCUAAUAAAAAGGCGGAUUAGGAAACCGGGCCAUGGCUGCUUUGAAUGACAAUUAUAGUCCCACCUUUGGUGCUAAUCGUCAACUACAGAAUAAAUCAUUCUGAAAAAUCGAAUAUCAGUUGGAACUAUAGUGUUUGGUUAGCUUAAAUUAUUUACACAUUUGUUUCAUUCAGUUUAGUUUUCGACUUAUAACAUAAAAAAAAAAUUUGUUUUUUUUAAGAAAUAACAUAAAAAAAAUUAUUAUUUUGAUUUAUAACUUUUUUUUUUGGUAUCGUUGAUUUAUAAUUACUUUUUAUUAAAAUAAAUAUACAUAAACUAGUGAAAAUAAUUAAAAAUGUAUAAAACAUUAUUUUAAAAAAAUUAAAACAAUGAGCUGAACCGGUAAAAUUUAAUUCGGUCCGGUUAAAGUACUGUGAUUACAAAAUUAAUCUAAACCGAAUCAGAAUUAACCAUGCAAUUACAAUAUUUUAUUGGUUGAAACAAAAAGGCUAUAUAAAAGAAAAAUGAAAAGUUAUUAAUAGAAGUAAUAAAAGAAUUUUAAUGGGAAGAAACAGAUGAAGUUGGAUAAAAGGAUACAUCAUAUUAAUCAACAAGCAAUUUACAUUAUUUGCGAGCUUAUCACCAUAAUUUAUGCCGCAUCUUCAUCAAUUAUGCAUGAUGCCAUACUCGUCUUGCACCAAGAAAUUAAUCUAUAUUUUGUUUAUUUCAGUUGUAAAAUAGUUAUUAAAAUAUUUAAAUUUUUUUAUUUAAGUCAUUAUAUUGUUAAAAUUAUUGUUAUAUAGUCUUCUUUAUUUGUAUCGUCUGCACCAAUCGAAAGUUCUCAUUCUUUUUUUUAUACAAUUCGUUUUUUUUCAUGAAACUACUUUAAAUGUCAUGAAUCUUCAAACCAAAAUUCAAAUAGCUUUAUUUUUCGAUCUCGAAUAUUGACCAUUAGAUUUGCUUGGAUCUGAAGUCAAGGCCGAAGCCAGAAAAUAUUUUUAGGCGGCUGAAAUUAAAUUGUGAUUUUUACGAUAGUAAAAAUAUAAUUUUUAAAGGAUUAAAUUAAACUUUUAUCAUUUUUAGAGGGGCUAAAGUAUAAUUUUACCUUUAUUAAUUUGAAAUUUAAAAAAAAUUGAAAGGGCUAAAGUGAAGCUGGCCCCUGCCAGCCCUCUAGAUUCACCUCUGUCUAAGGUAUGUUGUUUUAAUUGUCAAUAGGUGUUGAUCUAUUGUACCGAUGGUCAGAUUUUCACUCAGAGCCCACUACAUGUACUGUUUCUAAAAAAGAAAAUUUUAACAACCCGAUAAAUUAAAAAAAACCUUUUGACUAGUUUAACAAUUAUUUUAUAAUUUUUUAAAGUUAAGUAAUUAAAAUAAAAAUUUACUAAUAAUUUAAUGAUAUUAGUUCUACUUUACCCAUAAAAAGUAAGAGGCGCGAUGGGCUCAACUUAGGGUUUCAAAAGCUAGCCCAAUUAUACCAGCCGACCGCCAUUUCCAGUUUUUGUUAAUUUAUUUUAAACUAGUUUUUUUCCGUAAGUAUAUAUUUUUAAAGUUUUUAAUAAUUUUUAAGUUAAAUAUUUUAAUAUUACGCAAAUUUUAAAAAAUUAUAAAUUAGUAAUCAUACAAAAUAAAAAUGGGGUAGAAAUAUGAAAAAGAAAACGAUAAAAUUAAUAUUAAUAAUGUUAUAAAAAUCACACCCAAGUCGAGACUUAAAUAUAAAAAGUCAAAAUUACAUUUAGGAUUAAGGUGAAUAAAUUAGAAUAUAGAAAAAGAGAUUAAAUUAAAAAGCAACAAAUUUAAAAUGGAAAUAACUCAUGUUCUAUUUAAACACAAAUUUUCAAACCCCUUAAUAAAGAAUUUAGGGUUUCAAAUAUGUAGUUUUCCUUAGAACCUACAACGAAAUUAAGGAGUUGAUUGUGUUUAAAAUUGCAUUUAACAAAUUAAUUUUAAGAUAUAUUUGAUUAAAACUUAGUUAGAAGGUGUUUUCAAAUUAAUUUAUAAGAGAAAGCUUCUAAAAAUAAAUUUUAGAAACAAAACAUCCAUUAAUAAUUAUUUUUUCAUAUAUGAUUACAUUAAAAUUCCAUAUAUCCAUUUUUUUAACAAAAAAAAAUCUUAAUUCGAUUGUACAUCAAUUGGCAAACUUUUUAUAUGAAAAUAUUUUUAUUUCUUAUAUUAAAUGUUUAAAUUUCAUUUAAAAUUUAAUUUAUUAACUUGACCAAGUUUAUAAAAGAACUGGUAUUAAAUAUUAUUUAUAUAUUUUAAUUUAAGAAAAUUAAUAUAUUAUUUAUACCUAUGUAAAUAUGGUAAGUUCUUUGAAGACUGAAAAGGAACUAAAUAUUAUAUAAUUAAAACAAAUAAAAUAUUAAAAUAAUUGUGGGCACAUGUGAAAGUAAACUUUAGUUAUUUAUACCUAAGGUUUAAUAUAUUUAAUACUUGCCAUAUAUUGUUUUGUUUUUAUUUUCUUACUCAUCAAAGAUAUUUAAAUUAUGUUAGAAAAGAUAUUCAUCAAAAUAAUUACUGAUAUAUACCAUGAUUUCUUCCUCGUGUAUUUGCAUAUGGUAAAUAAUAUUAUCUUAUGAUGUCUAAAAUAUUUAUUACCAAAUUUAAAUUAUACAUGUUUAAUAAGGAUAUUAAUUUCAUAUUAGAUAUUUAUCCUUAAGGUUUUUAAUUGAAAUUAUAAAAGACAAUUUUUAGAAUUAAAAUAUAUACACAUCAAUUUAUUAUAAACUAUGACAAAUUAGAUUAUUUCCUAAAUUGUAACUUUCAUAAUGUUAUAGUAUAUAUUAUCCCUUCCAUUGAACAAAGUUGAAUUAUAGUUUAUAGUACAGUCUGCUGUCGUAUGAUUUUUCUUUUUUUAUCAAAUGCUGUCGAAUGAUUUGAUGCUUCAGAUUUAGCAAAUUCUAAAAUAUUUUAUAGCUCAGCCCUUUUAAGCUUCAACUUAAAUUAUUUGGUACUUACACAAAGGUAUAUCAUUAAAUAUUUUGGUAAAAAAUCAAUUUUGAUAGUCCUAAAAAGAUUGAUAAAUUCUAAACCUCAAGUGAAGCUCACCCUAAAAUUUUCGUUCAUUAGCUCCUUCAAAAUUUGGAAGGAAAAAGAAAAUUGUGAUCUGUGUUAAUCAUGCCGAUCCAACUGUUGAAUAACUGCGAAGAGAUGUGAUAAUUUGUACAGCCACAAAGGCCAAGUCUAACAUAAAUGAGUAGAAGGCUUACUACCUUAUCCUCAUAAUGUUUUUCUAAUAUUUUAGAUUAUCUUUAAAAUUAAUAUAUAAAUCAAUUCCUAACAAUAUCAUAAUAAUAUUCAUUAAUUUGUUGUAUUAACUCAUCCACAAAGACUAAUUCGAUUAGUAAAAGAAAUCUCUCAUUUCGAGAUAAGCUAAAAGACGUGGCAAACAGCUAUCAUGAUUCAUAAAAAGAGGCACCCAAUUGAUUGAAUUGACCUAACAGCUACUAUUGCAAGCAAAGCAGGCAUCGAGUGUUCCACGACUCCUUUUCAGUACUUGACCGACCCCACAAGAUUGUAAUUUUUGAAAAGAAGAAAAAGGCAACGCAAGACCCAGUAAAUGAGCAGUAAAUUCCCAAUUUCCCAUUGUGACUUCCAAAUCAUUCAUUUCCAUUCCACAAUGUGAAGAGUAAAAGCGGAUAUAUGCUCAGAGCAGAUAGUAUAGAGCAUUCAGGAGCACAAAGAAGCUAAAAUAAAAUUUUAAAAAAGAAAAGAAAAAAAAAACUGAGUACAUGGACGAUCGAGUUAAAACAAAGGCAAGAAUUGCCUAAGUAGCACCAAAUCUUCUUCUAUCAAACACAUCAAAUCGGUAGAAGUUUCAUUUUGAAUUGAAACCCUAAAUUGGCAAAUUAUAUAAUUGAAAGUAAGAGCCCGGCUGACUCUCAGUCUCUCACUACUGCUGUGGCUUUUGUUGUUGCUCCUCCUCGUCACGCUUCGGUGCUUCUUUAAUAUCAUCAGCCCCGUCAUCCUAAUUAAUUUUGUAAUGAAAUUAGUAUGGGUUUAUUUAGAGGAAAAUAAGGGAUUUCUUUAUCUUAGUAGGCGAAAUCAAUUUACCUGCAUAUCGGAGGUCCAGAGAGUGAGAUUGUCACGGAGGAGUUGCAUGAUGAGGGUGCUGUCUUUGUACGAUUCCUCGCCUAGAGUAUCCAACUCAGCUAUCGCUUCAUCAAAUGCCUGACCGAAGAAAAAAACAGCAAACACGUUGGCAAAUCUAGAUUUAUGAACAAGUUACUUUUAUUCAGGGGGAAAAAGGAUAUCGGUGAUCAACCUGUUUGGCGAGAUUGCAAGCGCGAUCGGGAGAAUUGAGAAUCUCAUAGUAGAAAACAGAGAAAUUGAGUGCCAGUCCAAGUCGAAUCGGGUGAGUAGGAGCCAACUCGGCGUUGGCAAUGUCCUAAUAAACACAAAAAGUUAAAACAGAAAAAAAAAAUAUAGGAAAAGAAACCAAACUGAUGUUCAAGAAAAAUGAAAUGAAGUUUUGAAAACCUGAGCAGAUUUGUAGGCAGUGAGAGUACUCUCAGCAGCUUCCUUCCGUUCAGCUCCAGUCUUGAACUCGGCCAAGUACCUGUGGUAAUCUCCCUUCAUCUUAAGAUAGAAGACCUUGGAAUCUCCAGAGGAAGCCGAGGGGACAAGCCUAGUGUCAAGGAGCUUCAAGAUCCCGUUACAGAUCGAAGUAAGCUCGGACUCGAUCUUGGCCCGGUAAUCACGGAUCGUAGCGACGUGGUCAUCGUUACCACGGCUCUCCUCUUUCUGCUCAAUGGAGGAGAUGAUGCGCCAGGAAGCACGGCGAGCACCGAUAACAUUCUUGUAAGCGACGGAGAGGAGGUUCCUUUCCUCGACGGUGAGCUCCUCGUUGUCGGCGGAGGCAGAGACUUUCUCCAUGAACUCAACCAUUUCCUCGUAGCGUUCGGCUUGCUCGGCGAGUUUCGCCAUGUAGACAUUUUCCUCGCGGGGUGAAGAAGUGGCGGCGGCGGCCAUUGUCGAUAGGAAUCAGAUAGAGAGAAAGGGAAAAGGCAGAUAGCGAAAGAGAUGGUAGGUUUUAAAAAAUAUUAGAUCUGAGAUUUCGGGAGGGAGUUUUGAGGGGGUGGGAGAAGUGGGAGGCGAUGAUUGCGUUGAAGGAGGAGGGCCGAUGAUUAUCAAAUCUGGACCGUCGGAUUAACUGAAAUUAUUUUAUACCGAAUUAACUAAUUAAUAGAAACAAAUCAAACAAACAUGACAAAGUACUUUAGUCCACGUAGCCACUAAAUCAAAUUUUAAUCUAAAUAUUAAUCAACUUAGACUUUAACUAAAUUUAUUAAUCUUAUACUAAAUUAAUACAUCUAAUUUCUUACUUGAUCGAACCAAACAAAGCUUAAUAACACAAUCAACAAGUAUGCCAAUUUCAAACACAUACACUAACCUUAAAUCAAGUAGUAAGUAGCAAGAAAAAUUAACAAGACUGCAGCAAAUUGAAGCCAAUGGUCGGCAAAGAAUGUUAGCACGGGUGCAGCAAAUUAGAGUCAAGAUGGACGACAGUUAGCAGCAGUACUGAUUUGGAGAGCUAAUUGAAGCCUAAUGAUGAAUGAAAAAUUUUAGCAAAUAACUGCUGGUCGGCAAGCACACAGUAGCCAAUUGAAAAGCAAAAACGCAGUAGCUUGUGCCAAGAAUUGGCGUUGCAAAGGAAGCAUUUUGGUGGGUGCAACAAUUGCCUUAAUUGUAACAGCCCAUUUUCAAUGAAAUCAGAAUAGUGAUUUCGAGAUCACAAAUCCGAGUUAGAAAGUAAAAUUAUUUUAAUAUUAUUGCAUGGUUUGCAUUAUGAUGGGAAUGAUGUAUGAAAAUUUUGUUGAGAAAAUUUUAUCAAUUACAUGCUUAAUUAUAGAAAGGACCAAAUUGCAUAAAAUGAAAAAGUUGAAUUCUAAUAGCUAGAGGGAUUAAAUAGCUAUGGAAUUUAAAACUUGAUAUCUUUAUAUGGAAAUUAGACCAUUAAAUGGAGUUAGUAGAUAAUUAUAAUGACUCAUCCAUGAAAAUUCAAGAAAAAAAAGGAUGAAAUUGAAAAGUUGAAAAAUUAAAAGAUGAUAAGUUAAUUAAAUGAAUAAAAUAAUUUUAUUUUCAUCAUUUUCUCCAAAUUUUCUAUGGAAACCCUAGCUAAGAGAAGGAAAUUCAAGUAAGCUUAAUUGGGUAAGUAAUCUUGUUCUGUUUUUAAUAAUUUUUAUAUUUCUGAUAUCGCAAUAAUUUAAUCUAGCUAUUUUAGGGAUUAAUUUGCAAAGUUAUCAAAGUAUUAAAACUUUUUCAUGGAUCAAUAUGCAUGAAUUAUGAAAUUUAUGAUAAAAAAUGAAAGGUUGUUGAUAGAUAAACAACUUUUCCUUUUCAUGAAAUUGUGAUUUAGGGACUAAACUGAAAAGAUGUAAAAUUCAUGAAUUUUUUUUGUGAAAUACAUGAGCUGUAAAUGUUAUAUGAAAAAUUCGGUUAGGCUUGGAAUAAGAAUUAAAUUGCAUAAAUUUCAUUUUCCGAGCCUAGGGACGAAAUUGGAAUUAAUCAAAAGUAUAGGGGCAAAAUGUUACUUUUGCCUAAAAUGUGAACUGGAUUGAAUUGAAUAUGAAAUGUGUUAAAUUUAUGUUAAAUUCACUUAUAUAGAUCCGGAAAGAUCAAAUAAGGAGUUAGAUCGAGGAAAAGAAAAACUGUCGGAUUAGUAGAUUUUCGUAUACAAGCAAGUGUCAAGGUAAGUUUGUGUAACUAAAUUAUGUAUAUUUAUAUGUUUGAAUUGAAUGUUGUAUAUGUGAAUUGUAUAAUUGUUAGAUGUAUGAAAUUUAUUUCAUAUUCGGCAAAACUCGAUAAAUGAUAAGUCUCGUUUGACUAAAUGGAAUUCGAUGGAUAUAGGAUUUUCCUGAAAUGUUUGUGGUCCUACAUAUGUUGCGGACACACCAUAUCUCUUAUGAGCGUCUCAUUAUAAGCCAUCUCGAGCUUCCUGUUAUAUAGUUCCUGCGAGUAUCCUGAUCGAUAUUGAUUCUGCAUGUGUUACGGACAUACCGCAGCUCUUUGUGAACGUCCUGUUAUAUGAUCGGUAUUGAUCCUGCAUAUAUUGCGGAUAUACCGCAGCUCUUUAUGAGCGUUCCGAUAUAUGGCUCUUCAUGAGCUUCCCCAUAUGACUCGCUUUAACUUCCUGAUAUAAGGCUAUCCGGAGCUUCUUGAUAAUAGCUCUUCGGAGUUAUCCGUUAAGCUCACAUGAGCUUUCUGUUUUAAACUCUAAUGAGUUUCCUGUUAUAGCCAGAAUAAGCUUCAUGUUACAUGGCUCACGUGAGCUUCCUAUUAUAGCCCAGAUAAGCUUCCUGUUACAUCAAAACAGGCUUUUAGCGGCACUUUAAGGAAAUCACCAUUAAAGAUUGAGCAUUAGCAAACGCCGCUAAAAAUGAGCAUUAGCGGCAUUUUUCGAAAAAAAGCCACCAAAAACCUAAGCCCAAAGGCGUCGUUUUCUGACCUUUCGAGGCUUUAGCGGUGUUUCUGAAAAAGCGCCGCUAAUACUCGGGGCUUUAGCAACGUUUUUUGAAAAAGCGUCGCUAAUGCUUGGGGUUUUAGUGGCGUUUUUGAAAAAGCGCCGCUAAAAACAUUUUAUCUUAAUUGGUUUAUUUAUAUUAAUUAUUUAAAUAUUCAAUUUAUUUCUAAUUGAAUAUUUAAAAUCUUCAAAAAAAAAUAAUGACACGUAGAAAUAAUUUGAAAUAAAACACAUGGAAAAUUUAAAAUACUAUUAUUCAAAAUAAUUUUAAAGUUUUUUGGGUACAUGAUUACUAAUUGUUUUUUAAUUUAUAUAUUAAAAAAUUUCUUAUACAAUCGUAAAAGAGAUAGUAUUAAUUUUAAAAUAUUGAAUUAAUUAUCACUAUAGUUUAGGGUUUUUGGUUUAGGGUAUAUGAUUAAUUUAAGAUUUAAGGCCGGUUUAGGAGUUACUAGUUUAAGGUUUAGGGAGUAUGGAUUUAGGGAUUAUGGUUUAAGGGUGGGGAUUAAAGGUUUAUGGGUUAGGGGUUUAGGGGUUAGACGUUAUGGGGUCAAUAGUUAGGAAUUUAAGGUUUAUGGAUUCAGGGGUCGGGUUAUGGUUUUGGAUUUAGAUUAAUUAGUUUUUUUAAUUUAUAUUUUAAAUAUGUUAUUAUAUAAUUGUAAAAGAGAUAGUAUUAAUUUUAAAAUAUUGAAUUAAUUAUGAUCAUAGUUUAUGGUUUAUGGUUUAGGGUAUAUAGUGUAGGGUUUAAGGUUUAAGAGUUACUAUUUUAAAUUUUAUGGAUUAUGGGUUUAGGGAUUACGGUUUAUUGUUUAAGGGUUGGGAUUUAAGGUUUAGGAGUUAGGGGUUAGGGGUUUAGGGUUUAUGUUUUAUGAUUCAAGGUUUAAAGGGUAGGGGUUAGGGGUGUAGGGUUUAGAUUAAUUAGUGUUUUUUAAUUUAUAUAUUAAAUAAUUUCUUAUAUAAUUGUAAAAGAUAUAAUAUUAAUUUUAAUAUUAUAGUUUAAAUUAUUUAUGAGAUAAUAGAUAAACUUUAUAUAUAUUAAAUGGUUUAGGAUUUAAGGUUUAGUUGAGAUUUAUUAAAUGAUGAAAUUUUAUUAAAAUAUAUGGUAUUUAUUUUGAGGGUACUUAGUUUUUUUUUAUAAAAAUAUAAUUUAUAAAAAAUAGUAAUAAUAAAUGUUUUAUAAAAUCAGGUAAUUAAUAAUUUUUAGUAGACAAAAUAAAAUAUUUUUAGCAAAGUAAAACGGGGUUGUUUUGUUCAAAAUGAAAUAAUUUUUUGCGGCGUAAGAUAAACAAUUUAAAAAAAACGCCACAAAAGUCAUUUUAUUUAAAAAAAAUGGCGCUGUUUUCCCCAAAUUUCCCUGCCUAAAAUCUCCAAAAGGAUCUCCGCUACUAAAGCAAAUAAGGUUUUUGGAAUUCCUUUUGUGCUUUCUCUUUGUCAAAAAAGACUUCUGUUCUGUUCGGUAUUUGCAGGGAAAAAAAAAGAUAAUGUGUUUGGUAUUUUUGUUUCCGUUAUAAAUUUUUUUAAGGAAAGGGAGAUGAAGAAAAAUAAGAAAAAGGGGAAGAAAAACGCUGCAACUAUGGGUAAUUUAUCCCGACUUUACCCUACUUUUUAAACCAUGGUAUGAGAUAGGCUGGUCUCCCAAUAUUUCCUUAAUCAAAGGGAGGAAAACCCUAAUUUUGUCUCUCCCAAGAGAUGAAAUGAAGGGAAAAAUGGUGUUUUACUUCAAAGCCCGGGCAGAAGCUAGCGAUUACAAUAUGGCUUCAUCGAAGAUAUCUGGUAAAUUCUUAUUUGAAUUAUUUUUCCAGAUACAUUGAAAAAUUUUGAAAUUUUGCCAUUAUUGCUGAAAUGGCCUGAAUUUUCAGUAAUGUCGAAAUGGUGAUUCGAGAUCAUUAAAUCUGACAAAUGAGUAGAAAAUAUUAUUAAUUUAGUGAGAAUAAGUAAAUGUGAAGUUGGGAAAAUUUUUGAAAUAGUGAAUAGUGUACUAGGAAUAAAUAUUAAAAUAAUUAAAAUUGAAAACGAGGUAUCGAGACCUCAAAGAUUUUAAACCGAGCCAUAAGUAUUUUUAGAAAUAUUUUUAGAGUGUCAUUGAGUUGGUAUUAAAGUUUCGUUAGAAAAUUUUAACGUUUGGAUAGUCAAUUAACUAAAAACAACUAAAUUGAAAAUAGUGUAAAAUUUGUUAAAUUGUGAUUAAAUAGCUUAAGUGAUUAAAAAGGAGGGAUUUAAAAGGCAAUUAGGCCCAAAAUAUAUGGGCUGGACGGUUGGGCAAGAUAUAUCUGGAAAAGUGAUGUAAUAAGGGUAAAAUUGGAAAUUUUGUAAAAGUUAACAAAUAAAAAUCUCAAUUAAAAGAGUUUCUAGGAAAUUCUUCAUAAUUAUCAGCCAAAAAACGCCAUUGAAGAGUCCCUCCAAGCUGGUUUUUCAUAUAUUUGAAUCAUGUAAGUUUAAUUCUUGAUUAUUUCUUCUACUUUUUGUGGUUUUGAUACUUUUACAAUUAGGUCCAACUAAUUGUUUCAUUAGUUAUUGAUCUUAUGGCUGAUUUUGAAAGUUACCAUUUAUGAGUACUGAAUUUUUAUGAUGAAUAAGCAUGGAAUUAAAGCUUUGAUUUUGUUAUAUGAUGAUUCUAUUAAAGUAAUUUUGAUAGAAAUUGAUUUUAGGGACCUAAUUGUGAAAAAGUUGGGAAUUAGGGUUUGAUGUUGCGGUUUUGAAUAUGAAAGGCUAUGUAGUAGUCUAAAAUAGUUGGAAAAGGUGUUAAUUGAGAAAAAUUAGAUCAAUUGAGGGGUUAAUUGAGUAGGGACCAAAUUGUAAAAACUGUAAAGUUUGGGGUAAAAGUGUAAUUUCGAAAAUUUAAGGGCAUAAAUUGUGAAAUGGAUUAGAAGAGAAUUAUAUGCUGAUGAAUGAAUAAAUUUUUAUUUUAGAUCGAGAACCCGAAGCAAGCCGAGGAAAAGAAAAAGUAGUUGAUUAGUCCCUGAACUUUUACAAAUUCUGCAAAUCGACCCAGGUAAGUUCAUAUGGCUGAAAUUUAAUGAUUAAAUGUUAAUUUCAUGAAUUAUAUAAUGUAUGAUGAAAUAUAUUUAGUGUUGAAAAGAGAGUAAAAUAAAAAUGCGAAACUCGAAUAAAUGAUCAAAUUAAGCGGAACGCCGAAUUUGAGUACUUCUGAUCAAGAGAUAAAGUGAUAAGUGGUAGCUUUAGCUACACUUAUCUGAUCAAGUGAAAAAGUGAUAAGUGCUAGAUAAGUGCUAUACUUAUCUGAUCAAGUGAAAAAGUGAUAAGUGUUAUACUUAUCUGAUCAAGUGACAAAGUGAUAAGUGGUAGCUUAGCUACACUUAUUUGAUCAGGGACAAAUGAUAAGUGAUCAUACGUAAGACCAUAGUUAUACUAUGGCAAAGUGAAAGUGAAGUACUCGAUUUUCCGUAACCGUUCCUUAAUUUUGAUCACGGAUGGUAAGUGACAAAUGGGCUCAAAGGAAUUAUGGUAAAAGAAUAAGUAGUAGUGAGUUUAUAGGAAUUCACCAAAGAUUGUGGUUGACAGGUAAACUUAGUAAUGGUGUAUAUUGUAUAAAUGUACAAAUGUUUGGUAAGAUUUAUGUUUUAUGCCUAUGAAAUUACUAAGCUUUUCUAUAAGCUUACAUGUGUGUGUUUAUUGUUUUUGUAGAUUAACGUAUUUAUACAUUCGGAGGAUCAAAUCUACAUCGAGAAUCACACUAUCCAGAUAUAUUCCGGUAGAUUUUGUUAAAUAACUUUUUGAAUUUAUAUGGCAUGUAUAGGGAAUUGAAGUAAAAAGUAAUAGAAUGAAUGACUAAGUAUGUAAAGUAAAUUUUGAAUGUUAUGGUUGUGUUAGAUAUCGAAAUAUAUACAUGUUUUUAGUUUGAAAUGGUUGAUUGGUUGAACUUCAUUAGUAUUUAAAUAAAGUAGAUGAAAUACUGGAAUUGGUUGUGAUUUGAAAUUUGCAGGGAAGGUUAGACAAUUAUAAAGGGGUUAUAUUGAAUUUUUUAAAAAAAUUUCAAUGGAAUAGUUUUUGGACAGCAACAUUGAUGUAACUUUGAAAAAUCACUAAAAAUAGUGGAAAUAGAAUUAGAAGUUGAGUGAGAUAUGAAAUUAAAGCUGAAUGAGUCUACUUUCACAUGAAAGAAGUGGAGUAAGAAAAAGAAUUAUAUACUUUUAGAUAUUUGAAUUUUAGUGAAACAGGGCAAGAAUGUUUUUGAAGUCCCCUGUUCUGACUUUAGAAAUUCAUUAAAAAUUGUACAGAAGGAAUUAUGAGUUAUAAUUUAUAUGUAUAGAUUUCUUAAUGAGUCUAUUUUCAGUAGAAAUAAGUGUAAGCACCAUAUGAAUUCUGUAAUAAGAGAUAAUUAAAUUUUAGUGAUGAGUGGUCAGGAUAGUCUAUCAGUGAAACAGGGGAGACUUCAACUAAUAAACUGUACUAAUUGGCUAAACUAAAAAUUCUGAAAAAUUUAUGGUGAAUAGAUAUAUGAGUCUAGUUUUAGGGAAAAUUUACGGAUCUAAAUUUCAAUUUUCGUAGCUUGAAUUAUAAUUAUUUUAGUGACUACUGCACAGGUGGACAGCUUUAUUAUGAAUGAUGAAAUUAAAUUUGAAAGUAAAUUUUUAUGCCCCGAACUUUUAAGUUAAGUUAAGUAACGCCUCAUGGUCGACUCCGGCAACGGUAUUGGGUAAGGGGUGUUACAGUUGCUAUAGAUUUCGAUAAGAAAACAGAGAUUGAAACUAGGUUGUUCGAUAAAGACAGAGAUUUUCAAGCUGGUUUAGGUUUUCUUUGUUUCCCUUAUUGUUCAACAGAGCUUGAAGAUCAUAACUGGGAAGAUCAGACAAUACAUUAUAAUCGAUUGUUCCAGUGGAAACCAUUUCGGGAAUUUUAUAGUUGAAGGAAGAAUAAUCCGAAGUUGAUGAAAGAUUAUAAGACACUUUUUAAACCAAAAUGAACCAAGUUUUGAUUGAAAUUAAAACUCAAAAAUGCAAUAAAAAGACCAAAGACAAAUUGGUGUCCUUUUUUUUGGUUAUUAAGUUAUAAAACAGACAAAUUUUCUUUUGGGUGUUUGGUUGAUGAGAAAAUAUAAGAAAAUUUGGUAAAAGAUUUUUGAUGAGAAAAAAAUUAUAAAUUUAUAAUUGUUAACUAGUAGAUUGAGCUAGGUAAUUGUGGUGGUGCUAAUUUGCCUGCAAUCAAAGAGAAGUAUGGUCAGUACAUGGUGAGUAGGUGCUCCACCUUUACGGCGCAAACAUGUUUACAACAUUGCUACAUAGUUCACUUAAGUUUUUAAUAAGAGCUUGAUCUGAAUUUCAGACCUUGCUUUAGGUGACGAUGAGUGGGAAUGGGCAAGUUCCAUUACUGGCUAUUUCAAGCUAUUUGUUGAAACCAUUAAUGUCUUCUCUACUAACAAAAGUCCUACUGCAAAUGUACAUUUUUUUCUGAAAUCUAUCAUGUUUACAUACUGUUGAUUGAAUUGUGCAAGAGCCCUAAUACUUUUCUUAGUUCAUUGGCAGGGAAGAGGAAAACAUAGUUCUAUAAACACUGGAGCAAUGCAAUUUAGCUUUGGUAGUAUCAUCUAUAUCUUACAUCCCCCAACUGUCGAAGCUCACUGAAUUGAUAUGCACACAAGAUUGGUUGCAGAUGCAAUCAGAUGGUAUGUAUGUGCAUUAUCUUUGAUUUUUUCACACAAUAUCAAUUUUGGUUCAUUAUAUAUCACUAAAAAUAUGUCGUUGGUAUUAAUGUAUUAGAUCCUAGUCCAUCGUCAAGCAUUUAUGCUAUACCCAUUCAUAUGGCUUUGAAGAACACUGUUUCUAUGUUGUGGAUUUCAUUAGUGUCCUUAUUUUGAAGGCUAUUUCAUGCAAGGUACGUACAUGGAUAUGUGGUAAGCCCAUAAGAUGAUGUUUGACCGCAUAAGAAUUUAGUCUUGGUCUCAAAUCAUAAAUUGGAUGAAUAACUAUUGUAAUGUUCUUAUGUCAAUAUGGGCAAAUAGCUAAUUGCUUCUUAGUAUUUUGAUUUGUUACUAUACAUAUUAGGAAUAAUAAACAAUCAACCCUUUGAUAUGAUACAAUAGUUAUUAUAGUAGUACUUAACAAAAAUUUGGUUCUCAUUCUUCACUUAACAAGUCCAGUGGCACAUACAUAUGUAAACUAGGAAACUGAAACAAGAAAGAAAUGCAAAGCCAAAGCACAUUGAUACUUUUGAAUGAUAGUUAUAAAUGAAUAAUAUGCCUGACUUGGCAUUUAUAAAACUCACAUGCUUGAAGGAUAGAACAGAAAUUGUUGUUAGAAUUGGAUUGUCAGCUUUCAAGAUUCAGUAAAAAAAAAUCAUUUGGACACUUGGAAGAAUUCAUUGGUUUCAUUGCUGUAAUCUCUCUUAUUCAAUAUCUAAUUCAUUUCCAUGGUUGAGAUAGCUAAGUUGUCAAUUUCCUCGAGUAUUAAUUUUUGCAUUCAUGUUAUUUCUCAUUCAUAUUUAACUUGUUAAUAUCAAUUUUUGUUUUAAUGCACUAUAAUUAUUUUCCCAAUUCUGCAGGGUACAUGAAGAUUGGAUAACCAGGAAUGUAGCAGAUGUAGUUUGCAUGUUUGCACGGCAAGUAAAUGAAUUGAUUCAAUCUCUAUCAUCGGCAAAAGAUAUACUUCCCCCUUCAUAUAACUUUUAUGAUCUUUCAACUAUUUAUCUGUGUUUUUAUAUGGGAUGAUGAAUAUAUCACAUGCUUCAGAAAAAGGAUAAACGUGGUGAAAAAUAUCGAUUCACUAUAAAAUUGAUUUGAGAACUGGCGUUUUCUUCAUUUGUAUGUUGUUUCUAUGUUGGAAUGGAUGAAGGGUGGGACGCUUGGCCUCCAUCCUAUAGUAAAAGUAUCUAUUUUUUACAUUUAUUUAUUAGCAAACAACAGUGAUAUUAUGCUUUAUUUUGUUGUUUUCCUAUCAGUUGCAUUUACUGCGGUUAGUAAAAUAGGAUUUUCUUCUUAGGAUCUUAGUUUCUUCAUUUGUAUUAGACUCAACAAUGGCUUGCAUUGCAUUGGUGUUGAUUUUACCUAAAUUUCGAGGUUUGUAAUUUUUAAUUUUUAUUAAUUAUUUACGUUUUCUCACUUUUAUUAAUUUUUAUUAUUAUUUAAGCUUUCUUUAUUUGCCUUCUUUUAUCAUUUUUUCUUGUUGUUUUUAGCUUCGAAGAUCUAGUCUGCCAAUCUGGACCUGGUUUUUGGCCUUCUUCCGUCUAUGCUUAAUCAGCAAUUUAUCCCAUGACACACAGUGCAGCCCAGGUUUUACUUCAUUCUUUUAUAUAUUUUACAUUCAUACAAGAGUAAUUUUUGUCUUUUUACAUUUCAAAUAAAACCAUUUUUAUUUUAUUUUAUACAUGUUGAUAUUUGAACUCAUGAUAUUAGCAUAUAUAAAAUCGUAGGUUUACCACUACAGCAAAUGUUUCACCUCACUAAAUUAGUGUCAAUUGUACAUUGAGUUGGUUAGAGAAAUAACUUAUAUUCUUACAAUAAUUCUUUUGUCUUUUUUCAUUUUAAAUUAUAAAUGUUGAGAUUUGAAACCAUAGCAUUAACAUAUAUAAAAUCUCAAUUACUAAUAUUAUUACACAAUCAAUGCUUCAUUUUAAAUUAUAAAUGUUGAGAUUUGAAACCAUACCACUAACAUAUAUAAAACCAUGAACCAGAUGACAAAGGGUUUCUCAAGGGUAGAAGAAUCACUUAAUGACUGAUGUGCCUGAUGCCCGAAAACAGUUUCUAGCAUAUGUUGAAAAAGCAAAGACUACCGGAUGCUUGGAUUCAUCAUUUCAUUAUGGCAAUUCCAUAAACGGUAAAGAGAAUGGGGCCUGCCAAUAAUAACGAGUAAGUUUUCUCAUCCUUCGUUGUACCCCAUUUUAUAUAACAUUAGAUAUACUAAAAUGGUUAUGAUGUUGGGAUUUGAAUCCUAGAUGCCACGUCUUGAAGGUGUUUGCAUGAGCCAUAGGUUGAAUGCAAAUUUUGAUUCUAAUUUAUUAAUCCCGAUCAUUACACUCUUAUUAGAGCUGACACGCUCAAUUGUUUUUACUCUUAAAAUUAAUCACUCGUAGGUUUACAGGGAAGUUGAGUUCCUUCUAGCUGUGCUCAAUUGUUUUGUUUUUGCCAUUACAGCUGCUGUAGUUAUGUAAAGAGAAUGGGGCCUGCCAAUAACAAUGAGCAUGUAGGCACUAAAUCUGCAGUUCAAAUUCGAAGCCAUGCUCAAAAGUUUUUCUCUAAGGCUCAUUGCUUUGAGUUCAUUACAAGAUUUCCUUGAUUAAGUAAAUGUAUUAUAUCUUUUAUUACCAAGAUUUACUUGAUUAAGAAAAUGCAUUGUAUUUUUUAUUACCUUGCAAUGUAUAUAGUCAUAGGCAGGUUCAAAUAGUCAGCAUGUUUAUCAUAUGUAUUAUUUAUUUUAGUUUUGAUUCUAAAUUUUUAUUUUUACUUUAAUAUUUACGAAAACUUAAGUUCUAACUUUUGGAUUUUAAUUGUGUUAUUAAUUUAUUAUUUUAAAUUCUAAAACUAAAUUCAUUAAUUUUUAUAUUUAGUUUUAAAGUUAAAAUUUUCAUAGAAAAUUUAAUUUAAAUCAUAUUUUUUUAUUUAUCCUUAAAAGUAUAUUUAAAGUUCAAAUUUUAAAAAUAAAACAUAAUAUAAUAGUUAUCAUAAAAAUAAAUAUUAUUUGAUUAAAAUAUUUUUUUUAAAUGUUAUAUUUUUAGCGGCGUUUUUGCAUGAAACGUCGCUAAAGGUCAUGGUUUUUAGCGGCGUUUGUGAAAAAAGCGCCGCUAAAGGUUGACAAAAGCGCCGUUAAAGGUCAUGAUCUUUAGCGGCGUUUGUGAUAAAAGCGUCGCUAAAGGUCAUGGUCUUUAGCGGCGUUUUUUCACAUAAACGCCGCUAUAGCGGCACUUUUUGCGGCGCUAUCACUUUUAGUGGCGCUUAACAGCGCCGCUAAAGGCCUAAAAAAAGCCGCUAAAAGUCUAUUUUGCUGUGGUGGCUUCCUGUUAUAUGGCUCAGAAAAGUGCUUUCUGAUUAUGUGCUCUAAUGAGUACCUCCGAAUAUGAAUUGACGAAUUAUAGUUUUGUACACUUCGAGUAUAGUACAUGUGUAUUCAUCGAUAUUUUAAAUAAAUUCAAUAGACAAAGUUCCGACAUGGACUAAACUGAACUUGAGAUGAUUUGUUAUGAAAAUGUACAUGUUUUAUGGGAAUAUGAUAUGGAAAGUAUAUAUAUGAAAGUUAUUACAUAAUGAGCUCAUUCAUGUUUUUUGACAAUUGUGUGAAUUAUAAUGACUAACAUGUUGAUGAAAUUGGGUGUUUAGGCUAAUUGCCAAAUUUCUUUGGGUGAAAUUUUGUAUGCUUACCUUUAAUGCAAAUGAAGGGUAAGUUAAUUUUCCGUUAUACGAACUUACUAAGCAUUAAUGCUUACUUGUUUUAUUUUCUUUGUUUUAUAGUACUCAGAAGCUUGUAAAGAUUGGAAGCAGGUCAGAGCAAGAUCACACUAUCCUUCAACUCAUUUUAGUAUAAAUAGUGAAAUUACUUUUGGUAUAAUGGCAUGUAUAAGCUAAGUUAGGUCAAAUAUUGGUAUAUACAUGUUUUGGUUGUAAAUAGCCAUUGAAAUGACUUGUAAUGGUCAUGUUUUGAUAUAUAGAUAUAUAUUGUAUUAUCAUGUUUGAGGUAUGAAUUUGAUUAUGCAUAUAUGCAUUUGGUAUCUAGUUAAGUAUAAGUUUGGAAUGACUUAAUAAUAAAUUAUCAAUUGGGAAGUCCUAGGACACAUUAAUUGUAUGUGUAAAAUGUCAAGUUUAAGACUUGGGUUUGGCUUGGUUUAAAUGUCUUGAAUUGGUUGGUGAACAUGUUAAAAUGUUGAUGUAGGUGGAAGACAAGUUUGGGUGAGAAAUAAGGCUUGAAAAUGACCUUAUUUUGUCCACAUGGGUGGAGACACGGGCAUGUGCCUCAGCCGUGUGUCACACACAGCCAUGCACACAGGCGUGUGGUUUGACCAUGUGUCCCUUACAUCUUAAAAUUUGAGAAAUAGAAUACUCAGGUAGUUUCACACGGGCAAAGACACGGGCGUAUGUCUCAUUCGUAUGUGUCACACGACCUAACACACGGGUGUGUGACUUGGCUGUGUAAAUCUUGCACCUUAAUUAUGCAAGUCAGUAUGCUCACACGGCCUAGCACACGGGCGUGUGGCUCGGCCGUGUGACUAAGUCAGUAUACAACUUAAAUUGAGCACGGGCUGGGACACAACCAUGUGCCUCACAUCGAAUGCCCACACGGCCUGGGACACGGGCAUGUCACUUAGCCAUAUGAGCCACGCGGACGUGUGUCCCCUGCACUUAAAGAAAAUUUUGAAAUUUCGCAAAAAAUUCUCUAAGUUCCCGAUUUAGUACCGACUUGUUUCUAAUACGUAAACUGGGCCUCGAAGGUCCAUUUAAGAGACAAUAUGAUUGAAUAUGUUUAGUUUCAAAUAUGUAUAGUAAAUGAUAUGAAUUAACUAUAUUUGAUCUAUAAACUCUGGUAAUGCUCUAUAACCCUGUUUCGAUAACAAAUACGAGUUAGGGGUGUUACAUUUAUCGCUUCAACUUAAACCGGCUAUGUAACAGUAUUUGAGGCUAAUGGAAGCAAGUCAUGAAAGAGCAAUCAGCCACUUUUUUUGGAUUUUUGAGGCAAAUGGUGGAGCAAUUAGCAGCAUGUGGAAUGACAAUUCACAACAAUUUGAAUGGUACAAUGAGAUGGUAAAGCGGCAUUAAAUUAAGACUAAUGGGUGGGAAGAUUUAAGCCAAAUAGCAGCAGAUUUUUGAACAUGUUCACUCGGUAAUCCAAGGCUUAUUUGUACAACAAAGUGUAGCAGUUUUGGAACAUCAAACGGCGACCAAUAGUAGCUUGAUUUACAAGUGAGGAAUUUUUGGUAAAUGGCAGCAAAAUAGCGGCCUAGAUUGAAUGGCAAUUAUUGGAUCCAGGCAACAUAGCAAUACUUUGGAGCGACAAAACAAUGCAAAGUGCCAGCAAACUGAUUAAAGAAGGACAAAUUAAGAGAAAAAAAAACUUGCUAAUAUCCCUUUAAUAUUGGGGGCACUAAAGGGGGCAAUAAUUUAAGAGAUAUGGCAGCAGCAGUUUAUGAAGCAAAGUAAGCACCGAAUCAAGCCCAAUUGCGGCUUGCGGCAGACCAACAAACAAAAUAUGUUACCAUAAAAUACCAUGACAUGAAACAAAUUAGAGUAAAAAAAAAAAGGAUUAAGCAAUUCCAAAUAUAACAAAAUAUGCUUAACAAGAGCUAUAACGCAUAUAAGCGACCAACCAACAAAAGUUAUUCUCUAUGCAAGAGGUAAAUAUUAUUCCAAAGGCAGCUUACUUAUCUAAAAAGCACAAAAUUAAAACAUUUCUUUGGACUUGUAAUAUUUCACCGCCACCUUAGGCAAUAUAUGAGAUAUUUUCGAUGGUUUUGACAGUUUAAGGUUUAAAAAAUAAAAAUUAAAUAAAAGGUUAAAUCUUUUUUUAUAAAGUUAGAAGGUUAAAUAAGUCGUUGUAUCUUAUUUUUGGAUAAGUAAGUUUUUUAUUUUGGAUUUGUAUUCAAUGUAUUCUUAAUGGAUAUAUUUAUACAUUGGAAAUGAACCAAACAGUGAAACCUAGAUUUUAGCAAAUAAAUUGAGAAAACUGAAAAAUUGAUUCGAACCAAUAUAUUCAGUUCGAGUUUUGUAUUGUUCGUUUUGGUUUUAGGUUAGUGUUAUCAUCCGAAUCACACAAUUCGUUUUUGAUUUGGUUUGAACCUAAUCGGAUCAACUGAUUGGACCAGGAACCUAUCAAGAUAUCCUAGCCGCUGGACUAAAUUCUUGAAAACAAUGGUUGUUUGAUUGAAACAAACAACAUAUUAAAUUCUUGAAAACAAAAGUUAGAGGACUAAAUUUCAAAUGUAUGAAGUGUAGAGACCUAGAGUCAUGGUUGUUUGAACCUAAUCGGAUCAGCUGAUUGGAUCAGGAACCUAUCAAGAUACCGAUCCGAAGUGAGGCAUCAUACUUAUUAACUUGUGAACUAAUACAUACCAAUUGAACUAGGCAAACAAACCAGUUGAAUUGCUUUUUUUUUAAAAUUUUUUUAAUGAUUCAUUUAAUUGAAUUGUAUAAAUCAGUGGUCUAACCAAUUUGAUCACCAGUCUGAUAUAAUAUUCUGAUUCUAAAAAUGAUAUGAUAUUUUGAUUUGUUGAUAAAAUGUCAUUAUGAUCUUGGCAAUCGAGUACUAAGUUGAUUUUGCUUAUAAAAGGUCAUUCUGAGUUUGAUACGUGACGAUAAUCGUGCUGAAAUGAUUAUUAAUAAUUUUGAUAUUGAAAUUGAUGUAAUGAAAUAAUAUAUUGAUAUUAUUAAUAUUUUAACUUAAUGUAUUUGUUAUAUCUGACUAGUUUAAUAGUUUUUUACUUUUGAAUUCAAAUUAUGUUAGUACUACCGAGUAUUCAAUACUCAGCGUAUGAUUGUAUCUACUUUUGUGCGUAGACUUGACUUAGGUUCUUGGUGUGUUCGUGGUCUUGUUAGCAUCCAAGCAAUCGAUACUCAGCUUAGCCAUCAAUUAUAAUGUUUUCUUACGUUUGCUUAUUAGUGGGAUGUACCUAAGUCAUUAGAAAGUGUUUUAAAGUUUUUAUGUCAUUUUGAUUUAUAAAUAUGUUAAAGUUGUAUGCUUUGGUGAUCGGUUGAAUGAUUUUGGUUCCACUUAUCUUUUGAUAUAUAUAGAUAGAUAUAUAAAUCGAAAGAUAUGUUGGAGUAACGUUGGUUGAAUGGCUAGUUGUGUACAAAUUAGCAGUUAGUUUAAUUAAGUUAGUUGUGUUGGAAUAAAUGUCCUUACCUUUAGGCGUUGAAUGCAAUUAUACAAGUUAAGUAUGUGUGCAUUAGGUUGAUUUAUGCUAAAAUGGUUGUUGAGUUGGUACUGGUUGAAUUUCUAAUUGGUUUAAAUUGUAUUUAGUUAGUUCAACUAUUUAUUAACUAGUAUUGAAAUGAGAUAUAUGAAAUGCCAUGAUUCUAAUUUAUUGAUUAUGUUUUUACAAGUCAACUGGAUUUGUUUUAGCUUAACAUAACUUUAGGAUUAUUUAGGAAAUGUUUUGGCAUCGUUUGCUUGUUGGAACGUUUGUACUUUUGACAUUUUGGUAGGAUGGUAUCGAGACACUUAGAACAAAAAUGAUCAAUUCAUGCAUUUUUGGGUAAAUGUCUUGAGACAAUAAUUGCUAGCUCUCGAGGCAUGAACACCAUGGUCUCAAGAUGAGUAAACAUCGAACCUAAAUUAGUUUUUCUAUGUUCCAAGUCUCAAGACAAGGCCAUUGUUUCAAGACAUCAUAACAUCGAAAAGCAAAACAGGGAAUGCUUGUCUUGAAAUUUAAGGAGUCUUGUUUCGAGACAUGCUAAUAUCAAAGCUAAAAUUCUAAAAAUAAAAUGUAGUCUGUCUUGAGACAUGGAGAUACUUGUCUCAAGAUAUCCUGCUGAAAUUUGAUCAAAAGAGCUUGGAUUCGAAUUCUAACUCCAUAUUUGACCUCGUUUAACCCUAAAAUACCGUGUAUGAGAUCAUUUAGCAUUGUAAUGUCAUGUUAAUGUGUUUAAUUGUGAUUGUGUGGUGAUGAUUAUGAAUUAAUGACAAAUUGUUUGGAUUAUUAAUUUGAAAUAGUUUAAAUUGCCUCAACAAUAUAAUGUGACGUCACGCAUUAAGACCCGAUGAUCGGAUUAGUGUGGAGUGUAACAAAUUAGCAUUUGUUAUAUAAUCUAUGUAAUAACCAAAUUUUGCUCGGGCCCAAUGCCAAACAAAUAAAACCCAAACCAAAUAAAUAAAUAAAAGUCCAAAUUACAGCCCAUCAGAGCCCAAUUCAGACCAGCCCACUAUUCAAUCAGACCAGCCCAACAAAAAAACCCUAGUAGCCCACAGCCCAACUAAGCCUAAAACAUUUUCAGCAAAAGACAAAACCCUAGCUGCCAUGCUAGCCGCCGCUCCUGCCCUAGCCUCCGCCCACUAUCGAACGCCACCUCUGCCACCACCGUCAACCUCUGACACCUGCAAAAUAGCAAACAACACACAACAACAAAAAAGAAGAAGAUGACAGGGAAAAGAACCGAAUACAAAGGAAUCGAAAAUCAAUUCAAAGGUUUAUUUAUUGUCAUUUUAAUUUCUCCUUCAUUUUCUUGUUUAUUUCAUUUUUUAUAUACAUAUUCUAUAUGCAAAAGUAAAGUAAAAAAGAAAAGAAAGAACUUACCCCUUUUCGGGUUCGUGACGCCGUCGGGACGGUCGAGGGAGCCACUUCCGAGGAUAGGUGGCCGAAAACUGAAAGGUUUCUUGAGUUUUUCGGGGUUUUUGUUAAUGUGUCGGGGUUUUCGAACUCAGAUUUGGGUUUAGGGGGUUUGAAAGGAUUGAACUGGAGAUUUUAGCCUUUUUCGGCCACCGCAUACAGUGGCACCGUCGCUUGCGAUCAGCGGCCGACACGGUGGCCGGUGAUCGAAAGUUGACCGGACCCUAGACGAAACUCAGGGGUUGAGGGGAGAGUUUUGGAAAGUUUUUUUUAAAGGGUUAAAAUGAAUUUUUUGGAAAUUUUGGGGUUUUUAUAGGGUACCGAAACGGUACCGUUUUGGAGUGGUCUCAGAUGCUCAAAACGGCAUCGUUUUGGCCUAACCCGAUCCAGCCAACCCGACCCGCUAGCAGGAUCCUCGUAUUUUUGCAGAAUGGUCUAUUUACGCAUUCAGCCCUUCCGCUUUUUAAUUAUUUUGCAAUCAAGUUUCCUUUAGUUUUUUUUAAUUUGGCCCUGGAAUUUCUUUCAGAUUUCAAUUCGAUCCACCUUAAAGCUGUGCGUUUUGGAGGGACGAGAUUAUUUCUCAUUUGGUCCCUCUUUGUUAUUUGCGCAUUCAAUGUGGUCCUCCCCUUUUAUUUAUUUUCGAAUCCGCCCCUUUUUUUCAUUUUUAUUUCAAUUUAGUCUAUGUUUUUUAGCUAUUUUAUUAUUUAAUUAAUUAUUUUAAUGUUUUAUUAUUAUUAUAUUAUACCAUUAAUCUUGUGUUAUUAUUAUUAUUAUUUAUUCAUUUGUACCUUUUAAAUUUUAAAUUUUGUUAUAUAUAUAUACAUGCAUACAUUUUAUAAUAUAUACAUAUACGUACAUAUUACUUAAUUCUUAUAAAUAUAUAUACAUACUUUUAUAUAUUUUCUAUGCUUCAUAAUUUUCUAUACAUACUUAUAUAUUUUUUACAUUUUAAAAUAUGUACAUUUUUUUUAUAUAUCUAUAUUUAUUCCUUUUAUUCACAUACAUAUAUUUUUCUUAUAUGUACAUAUAUAUAUUUAUAUUUUAUAAUUUUUAUCUAUUCUCUUUGUUGUUAUAAUUGCUUCACUUAGUGUUUAUUUAUUUAUUCAUUUAUAUGUCCAUUAUCAUUUUAAAAAAAGAAACAUUUUAGUUUUAUUUGUUUAUUUACUUGUUAUUUUAUAUGUAACCGAUUUGUUCUUUUUUUCUUUAUUUAUUAUUUUUGUUGUGAUUUAUUGUGUUAUCUAUGUUCAUAUCGUCAUAUUCAUUAUUGUCAUUUAUUAAUGCGGCAUUUAUUCAUAUAUCAAAUUUAACAUUACAUCAAUUUUUACCCAAAUUUGUAAAAAAGAAAAUUUUGAUAAUAAAGGUAAUACUCGGUAUUUAGGAUCUUCGAGAGGAUUGAGCCCUAACGUAUUGGGUUCCAAUUUUCUUCGUUGAAUCUAAAUAAUCGAGAAUGAUCUUUAAUAAAAAAAAUAUAAAUAAAAAGCUCAUUAUCGGGAAUUCAAUACGUUGUGUCCUAACGCAUUGGACUGCGAUUUCUUCAUCUGACUUAAAUAAUUGAAUAUCCUUUUAAAUUUUAUUGCACGAGUUUUUCUGGACAAGCUCAUUUUUGAGGAGGUGAAAUAUCGUGCCCUAACUCAUUGGGUGCGACAUUUUCUCUCUCCGAAAAGAGAGGAUCUUAAUGGGUAAUUUGAUUUAUACAAGUUUUUUUAAUAAAUGAUUGUAUUUUGAAUCUCUUUAAAGUUUUCAAUUUUCGACAUUAAAACACUAAUUAAUCAACUAGGUACCAAUUUUUGGGCGUUACGAGGGUGCUAAUCCUUCCUUGUACGUAAUCGACUCCUGAACCUGUUUUUUUGAAUUUCGCAGACCAAAAGCAUUGUUUUAAUAAAUCUAAACCGUUUAUUAAAAACAACCGUUUUACGAGGUGACCCGAUCACACCUCAUCAAAAAAGAUUGGUGGCGACUCCCACUUUCGUUUUAUUUUCAAAAUCCAAGUCGACCCCGUUUUAUCAAAAAAAUGAUGCCAACAAUCUAUAAUCAUGAGGGGUAAUGGAUUGUUGAUUCCAAUCCUUUUUUGGGGUCAACAUCAAAUAAGGUAAUCAAAUUAUGGGUCCUUCGUGUUGGAUUAAUACUUACGAAAGAACUUAAUUUUUCUUAAGAGUAGUUGAUCAUAUUAUUGAUGAUUACAAGACGAAAACAUUUUUGAACAGUUGAAUUCUUCAUAUUUUUUAAAAAAGAAACUGAUAUACUGACACUUUUGCUACAAAAGGAAGUAGGUAUAGUGUUUUUAGGAAGUUACCUUUUAUGAACUCUAAUGUUUGAUAUGCUAUUAAUUUUGAUGUCCCUGAUUUUAUGCUUAAUGUUGUUAAGGCUGAUACAGUGAAUAUCUCUAUGCAUCCAACAUUCUCUUACUUAAAAAAUAAUAAUAAUUGAAGGACGUUUUGUCUACAUGAGCCUAAAGAAUACUUGAAAAUAUUCAAGUGGCAGUUGCUUCUAAAACACCAUUUUGUUAUUUGUGAAAAAGAGUAAAGAAAUGUACUUACGAGAUUCCAUUUAACCAUUGAUUAAUCUAAAAGAAAGCAUUGAAAUGAUAAAAAAAAAAAAAACUCCAAAUUAACAUGUUAACAGUGGCAACUGCCAAUAUCAAUAAACAGGAAAAACAAAGGCAAUGGUUUUAAACCUUUUGAGACAUCUCUUGGAUCCUGUAAAUCUAUGUAAUGAGUCUACAAAAUGUUUAAAAAGAUGUUGCAAUCCUAGCACUCCUGUUUGAACCAUGUGGAUUGUAUUCUUUACGGUGCAAAAACAGGUGGAAAUGGAAUCUUAUGGGGGCCAAGCCAACCCAUAUGUAUGUCAAAGGCUUUUUCUUUCUUUCAUUCUACAAAUUUUAUUUUUGGCAAUGAUUUGCUUAUGCCACAACGUCAAAUCCUGCUAAUUUCGUUUGAGGUCUAAAACUCAUCCCACAUGAGGAAAAAAACAUUUUUUUAAGAAUAAUGUUUAACAAAAAUAAUUAUGUUUAUAAAAUAAUAUGGUUGUUUUUGUUGAUUGAAUUUUAGUUCGAUUGAGAUCGGUAUUGUUGUCAGUGCAUUAGAACGUAGGUUGAUGAGAGACUAUAAAUAAUUUUAAACAUUGUAUAAAAAAACAGAUAACAACUUAAAAGAAUAAAGUUAAAAGAAAAAUUAAUAUGAUUGUUUGUUUUUAAAUAAAGGUGAAUGGUUAUUUUUACAUCUAGUUAUUUAUUAGUGGUAUGCCAUUUGUUUUUAAAUCUGUUAUUUUUAAAAAAAUUCAGUACAAAUAUUUAUAAAUUUAUUAAAAUGAUUAGAGUGUUUUUUUAAUUUUUGAUAAGGGAGUUUUUAUAUUUUCUCCUAGUAAAUUGCAUCCAAUUAUGGCCUUAUUUGAAAAAUUAUUGACAAAACUAAUUUUUAAUUGAUUUAAUUUUUUACAGAUGUUUGAUAAUACAAAAUUAAAAUAAUUCGAUAGAAUUUUUCUAUAAAAAAUGUGAAAUUUAAUAAGUAAAUAAGAACUACUUAUCACUCAAUGGAGAAUAUUUUCAAUUAAUUCAAUUUUAUUUUAUUUAUUUUAAUAUUAUAUUGUCCUAUAAACUUUAUAUUUAACAUUAUAUUAUCUUAUAAAAGUUUUACUUUCAAAAUUUGAUUUUUUGUUUAGAAUAAAGUGAAAUGUUUAAAAAUUAAAGAUAAAAUGCAAUAUAUAAUUUUUGUGUAAUUUAAAAUUUAUAUUUAUCAAGCAAUCUAGUUAUAUUCCAAAACUAAUUUUAAGUCAUAUAUAAAAUAAAAUUUAUGUCUUAAAUUCAAUAAUAAAGUUUCCAAUACUUAAUUUCUUAAUAUUUAUUCAUCAAACCAUAAAUGCUAAGCUAUUUUUCUUUUCCAUAUCAAUCAAAUUCAUCUGAUAUUAAUAUCACAUCGAAUAAAUUUAUUACAUUAAACAUAACUUCAAACAAAUAUAUAUAUCUAAUAAUUAGUAAAAGAAAAUUGAAUCAUGCCAUUACUAAACUGGUAACUGUAUAUCCUUUAUUUUAUAAUCAUGGGGCAAAAUGUUGUGUGUGCAAGUUGAUUGUUCCUUGAAAAGUUCCAAAGAGAAGAAAGAAAAGCCCACCGUAUGAUUUUAAAAAAGUCAAAAUAAGCCCCCUGGUUUUGUUUAACGUUAUUAAUGUUCUCUGGGCGGUCUCUUAAUAUAUAUAUUCGUGACAGAUGUGAAAGGUAAAAGUUUCCUCAUGGACUGUAAAAUGGAGAAAAGCAAAAUACAAAUGCUAUAUGAUGCCUGUAAUUAUGUAUUUUCCCAGGAAGAGCUUCCAAAUUUCCAACAAAUUCAAUGGCUCAAAAACAUCUUAAGUACUGAAUCACUUCCUUAACUUUCUGUCUGGUUUUAUACAAUGUUGUUGGUUUGUUUAGUAGAUAUGACUAAUGGGUACACAUUUUCAAACAAGCAGAUACGUUUGAAGCUGUGGAUGUUGGCAUAGAUGAAUUUAGGUCGGAUGGAUCUCCAGGUUCAGGCGAGGUCAUGAACAGCAAUGGGUUGAUUUCUGGGCAAGGAGUUUCUGAAAUAACUUACAUUCACAUCUAUGAAUGUGACCAAUUUUCAGUGAGUACUGCUACACCUUGUUUGUUUGUUUAUUCAUACUUCAUGCACAUAUUUAUAUGUAGAUGCAACUGUAUGAUUAAAAUCAUCAGUUAAAUCUGUUGUGCAGAUGGGAAUUUUUUGCUUUCCUGCUGGGAGGGCAUUUCCUCUACAUGAUCACCCCGGGAUGACGGUUCUAAGCAAACUUCUUUAUGGUUCAGUUUACAUCAAAGCCUACGAUUGGGUUCGUGGGGAGACUUGUAGCCCCAGAAUAAGUAAGAGUUGAUUGAUUGAAAAGUUAUAAGAAACCUCAAUCAGUUCAAAAAAGGCAUGCUGAUGUUAUGAAUGUACUACUAAACAUGUGUGGCUACGGUGCAGACGGAUUAGCAGGCACAGCAAUAGAUGGCAUCUGUUGUUCCAAUAGGGUCGGAAGCGUGUAAAUUAUUGUACUAAAAAAUCACACAAAGUUCAAUUCCCAGGAAAGAGAGGUGGAUCACAUGGAUCUCUUAAAUACCAAGUCUUUCCUUAGACAGAAUAUCCCUUCUAUAGUAAUUUAAUAGCACAAUUAAAUACUACUAUUAUACCCUCAAAUAUUGAAAGAAAAAUAGGACAAGAAAGAACACAAGAGUUUUAACGAGGUUCGGUAAAUUAUACCUACGUCCUCGGGCACUAACACCAGAUGAUAACUUUACUAUCUCCAAAAUAUUACAAACAAAUAGAAUUCCUUAAGAAUUCUCAAAUGGGAGAAGAGAGAAAACUAAGAGAGAAAGAUUGGUUGGGAUGGUUGAAAUGUGAAAUGGUUAGGCCUAUUUAUAGUUGAGGUUCAGGGACUAACUUGCAAAUGGCCUAAAAAUUAGGGACCAAAAUUGCAAUUAUCCCAUUCAACUUUAAACAACUUGCCUAUCAUUUUUUUUUCUUUCGGUGCCACUUGCACCUCCCAUUUUUGACUUUUCAACCCCUUUUUAAUUUGACUUAUCAACAAUCUCCACCUUGAAGAUUUGAUUAGGAUAAUCACAUCUUCACACACUUCCUUCAACUCCCCAAAUUCGAUAAAGCUAUCUUUUGUAGUGCCUCCAAAUGCGCUCUCGAGCGCCAUACACCUAAAGGUGCUCAAAUUCUCAGGAUGUUAAUCAAGUUCAAACAAUGAUUAAACUUGAUUGUUGUUACCACCUUGGUCAUCAUAUCUGCGGGAUUAUCUGCUGUCGGAAUCUUCUGAAGUAGAAUUUUUCCUUUUUCAAAGACUUCCCGCACAAAGUGAUAUCUUACGUCGAUAUGCUUGGUUCUUGAAUGAUAGACUUGAUUUUUCGCUAAAUGAAUAGCGCUCUGACUGUCACAAUAUAAACUUAUGUGACUUUGAACAACUCCUAAGUCUUUCAACAAUCCAUUAAGCCAAAUAGCCUCCUUAACAGCUUCUGUAACUGCCAUAUAUUCUGCUUCUGUAGUAGACACAGCUACUGUAGACUGUAAGGUAGACUUCCAACUCACUGGGGCUUUCGCAAGAGUAAACAGAUACCCCGUAGUUGAACGACGUUUAUCUAAAUCACCAGCAAAGUCGGAAUCAACAUAUCCAACUACAAACUGACCAAGUGCUUCAUCCUGUUCAAAAAUUAAACCAACAUCUACGGUUUUUCGAAGAUACCGUAGAAUCCAUUUCACAGUUUGCCAAUGUCCUUUUCCAGGAUCAUGCAUAUACCUACUCACAACUCCAACAGCUUGUGAAAUGUCAGGCCUCGUACACACCAUCGCAUACAUCAAACUCCCAACUGCAUUAGCAUAUGAGACUUUCGCCAUAUAUUCUCUUUCAUCUUCAGUCUUCGGAGAUAAUUGAGCACUAAGUUUCAAAUGAGAAGCAAGUGGGGUACUUACAUGUUUUGUGUUUUCAUUUACACCAAAACAUUGUAAUACCUUUUUCAGAUAUUGCUUCUGAUUUAAACAGAGCUUGCCUCUCGGUCUAUCUCUACUUAUCUCCAUGCCGAGAAUCUUCUUGGCCUCACCUAGAUCUUUCAUCUCGAACUCUUGAUUCAACUGAGCCUUCAGCUUAUCUAUCUCAUUUUGGCUCUUUGAAGCGAUUAACAUAUCAUCAACAUACAAGAGUAGAUAAAUGAAAGAUCCGUCAUGCAGCUUCUACAAAUAUACACAAUUGUCAUAUUUGCUUCUUGUGUACUUCUGCCUUCUCAUAAAGCUAUCAAAUCGCUUGUACCACUGCCUCGGGGAUUGCUUCAAUCCAUAUAGCGAUUUGUUCAGCUUACAAACCCAAUUUCUACCACCAGCAUCUGUGUAUCCUUCGGGCUGAGUCAUAUAGAUCUCCUCUUCUAACUCACCAUGCAAGAAAGCCGUCUUAACAUCAAGUUGAGCUAGCUCCAAAUUCAACUGUGCUACCAAGGCCAACAAAAUUCUAAUGGAGGAAUGCUUCACAACAGGGGAAAAUACAUCAUUGUAGUCAAUUCCCUCCUUCUGAGCGUAGCCUUUAGCUACCAAUCUUGCCUUGUAGCGAAUAUCCUUCUUGCUAGGAGAUCCAUCUUUCUUUGCGAAUACCCACUUGCAUCCGAUUGCCCUUUUACCUUUCGGUAAUUGCGCCAACUCCCAAGUAUUGUUCUUCCGGAGAGACUGCAUUUCUUCAUCCAUGGCGCUUUUCCAUUUAUCACUUUCUAAGCUUUGCAUUGCUUCUUGAUAAGUGAUAGGAAUAUCAUCAACAACGGGAAGGGCGUAGGCCACCAUAUCAGUAAAUCGAGCAGGUUUACGAAUUUUUCUCCGUGGCCUUGCAACUGCAACUGGUUCUGGUGUACUUAGUGGUUCUUGGGUCAGAACCUCUUCAACCUCUAAUUCUUCCAUUGUGGCUGGAGAAUUAGACUUAUUAACUGGGCAAAUCCCCAUCUGCUCAAACUCCACCUGUUUUGGAGUACACUCCACCUGCUGUGGAGUAUUGCUCGUCUGAAUAUCUUUAUCUGCUACCUUUUUCAAUGUCGCAGAUUCAUCAAAGGUAACAUCUCUACUACAGAUCAUUUUCUUUGUGCUUAAGCACCAAAGACGAAAUCCCUUCACUCCAGAAGUGAUUCCCAUAAAGAGAGCUUUCUUUGCCCUCGGAUCUAACUUUGACUCCUUCACAUGGUAAUAUGCAGUGGUUCCAAACACAUGUAAGGAAUCAUAAUCUGUAGCCGGUUUUCCAGACCAUACCUCCAUAGGAGUUUUUCUUUCUAAUGCAGAUGAUGGCAAACGAUUAACAAGAUGGCCAGCGUAUGUCACAGCCUCAGCCCAAAAUUGCUUGCCCAACCCAGCAUUGGACAACAUACAUCGAACUUUCUCCAGCAAUGUUCGAUUCAUACGCUCUGCCAAUCCAUUCUGCUGUGGUGUAUCCCUAACUGUGAAGUGUCGAACAAUACCAUACUCUUGGCACACAUCGAAGAACGGAUCACUUUUAUAUUCCCCUCCAUUGUCCGUCCUAAGCCGCUUAAUUUUCUUGCCAGUCUGGUUUUCGAUCAUAGUUUUCCAUUUAAGAAAAACUCUAAGCACUUCAUCCUUAGUUCUCAUGGUAUACACCCAAACUCUUCUGGAAAAGUCAUCAACAAAAGUAACAAAGUAGUGUUUUCCUCCCAAUGAAGGUGUCUUGGAAGGCCCCCACACAUCUGAGUGAACAUAUUCUAAAAUACCUUUUGUAUUAUGGAUAGCAGUGCCGAAUUUCACUCUCUUUUGCUUUCCCAGAACACAAUGCUCGCAAAAUUUUAAUUUGCAAGCCUUUGCACCUUUCAACAAUCCUUGCUUUGCCAGAAUUUGCAAGGAUUUUUCGCUAGCAUGUCCCAACUUCAUAUGCCACAACUGUAUUGAGUCCAAUUCUUUGUUGCCGGAAGCUGCAGCGACUGCUCCAAUAACUGUACUACAUUGGUAGUAAUACAAGUUAUUUUUCCUGAUGCCCUUCAAUAUCACAAGUGCGCCAGAUGUCACUUUCAAAAUCCCAUCUCUCAUAGUAACAACUGAACCAUUGGAUUCCAAGGCUCCCAAUGAGAUGAGAUUUUUCUUCAAACUGGGCACGUACCGAACAUCAGUCAGAACUCUGGUUGAUCCAUCUUGAUUCUUUAAUUGGAUUGAACCUAUCCCAACAGUUUUACAGGCAUUGUCAUUGCCCAUAUAAACAACUCCUCCAUUUAGUUCUACUAAAUCAGAGAACCACUCCCGGUUAGGGGACAUAUGAUAGGUACAACCCGAAUCCAAUAUCCACUCAUCUGAAUGGAACGACGAUGAUGAUGCAACCAGUGAUAGUUCAGAGUCACUAGUAUCAUGCUUUGCAACACAAGCAUCUACAGCAGCUUUUCCCUUAUUCUUCAGCUUUGGACAAUUUUUCUUCCAGUGGCCUUUCUCAUGACAAAAAGCACAUUCAUCUUUCCCGAGUCUGGACUUUGACUUUGAUCUCCCCUUUUGAGUUUUCUUCCGAGUGUAUGAACGACCUCGGACUACUAAAGCUUCUGUAUCUCUGAUUGAGUUUUUCUGUUUGUCCUUCUUUCUCUAUUCAUAACUGUAUAAGGCCGCACAAACUUCGCUCAGAGAUAUAUCACUCCUGCCAUGAAGUAGAGUAGUUUCUAGGAACUCAAACUCCUCAGGAAGUGACCCCAACAGCAUCAAAGCCAAAUCUUCAUCUUUGAAUGUCUCAUCCAUAUUCAGCAAAUCAGUGACUAACUGACUAAAUUUGGUGAUGUGAUCAUUCAUUGUGGUACUUGGGACGUAUGUGAAGCGAAACAGUCUUUUCUUCAAGUGGAGCUUAUUUUGACUGUUUUUCUUCAAAAAAAUUUCUUCAAGUGCCACCCACAACUUAUUUGCAAAAGUCUCCUUUGAAAAAGCAUACCUCUGCUCUCGAGAAAGGCAUGAUCGAAUUGUGCCACAUGCCAACCGAUUGAUCGCCUUCCAAUCUUUCUCCUGUACAUCAUCUGGUUUCUCUUCAUCAAUGGCAAUGUCUAGACCCUGCUGAAAAAGGGCAUCUAGAACCUCACUUUGCCACAUACCAAAAUGGCCCGUGCCAUCAAAGAUCUCCACGGCCAAUCUUGCAUUUGCAAUUGUCGGUCUUGUCCACAUGGACGAUGUUGAAGCUCCUACACCGACCGUUUUCUCCAUAAUCUUUCAAUAUACCUAAGGAAAUCUUUUCUGAUGUGGAAGAUCAGUUUAAACUGCAACCACAGAGCAUACUACGAUUAACCUUCGGCUCUGAUACCACUUGUUGUUCCAAUAGGGUCGGAAGCGUGUAAAUUAUUGUACUAAAAAAUCACACAAAGUUCAAUUCCCAGGAAAGAGAGGUGGAUCACAUGGAUCUCUUAAAUACCAAGUCUUUCCUUAGACAGAAUAUCCCUUCUAUAGUAAUUUAAUAGCACAAUUAAAUACUACUAUUAUACCCUCAAAUAUUGAAAGAAAAAUAGGACAAGAAAGAACACAAGAGUUUUAACGAGGUUCGGUAAAUUAUACCUACGUCCUCGGGCACUAACACCAGAUGAUAACUUUACUAUCUCCAAAAUAUUACAAACAAAUAGAAUUCCUUAAGAAUUCUCAAAUGGGAGAAGAGAGAAAACUAAGAGAGAAAGAUUGGUUGGGAUGGUUGAAAUGUGAAAUGGUUAGGCCUAUUUAUAGUUGAGGUUCAGGGACUAACUUGCAAAUGGCCUAAAAAUUAGGGACCAAAAUUGCAAUUAUCCCAUUCAACUUUAAACAACUUGCCUAUCAUUUUUUUUUCUUUCGGUGCCACUUGCACCUCCCAUUUUUGACUUUUCAACCCCUUUUUAAUUUGACUUAUCAACAGCAUCUUCAAUGCACCAUGUGAACCAUCGGUCUUGUUCCCAAGGAGCGGCGGAAACAUCCACUCAUUCACGGCCUUGACCCCUUGUGCUAUCUUGGAUGUCUUAUCUCCGCCCUACUCCGAUGACUUGGGCAGGCCCUCCACCUACUUCUUAGACUUCCCCGUCCCUUCUCUUCCUGGUAAAUCAUCGAAUUCAAUUUAUACUAUAAUUUCUCUUCUUGAUGUCAUCGAUUGCAUCCGAGUUUAUGUUUCGAUAUUCCCCAGGUUAUGCUUGGCUUGAGGAAAGAGAAGUAAAACUACCAUGUGACUUGGUUGUUAAGGGGGCACCUUACCUUGGUCCUCCACUUGAUGUUCCAGAUGAUGAUCUUUGCUAACUGGACCUACAAGAAUUCUCAGUAUAUGUAUAUCUGUAACCUUUUUGUUUAGUAUUGUAAAAGAAGUAUACAUGUACAACAUACCCCAGCAUCUCAUAAUGGUGAACCCAUCUAACUGAAAAAUCACCUAUUGCAGUUACCAUUUUCGCCUCCAGCUUCUAUUAAUUACUUUUUGGAUCCUGGCCCAAACUAUCGAUUAAAAAUGAGAAAAGCAUAUAAUUACAAUGAAAAUAAUUGACUGUUCUUAAAAUUUGAGAUGAAGUUUAUGGGUGAAGCAGCUUUAUACAUCCUUACAUACAAGACUAUUUCCAAGUUUAGGAGCCGAAAAUGUUCUGGUGAGACGAUAUCAAUCGUGGUUUAGAUUUGAGCUUUUUUAUUGUGAGAAUAGAGCGUAGGAUGCUCUCGCUGAAAAUCGUACAACAGUACAAGCAAAGAUCCAUGGUUUUUUAGUCCCACGAAUUUGAAUGAGGUUGGGUGGAAAAAAUGGAAAAUUUGUUUCUCAGCACCAUUAUUGACUGGACUUGCGGAUUCCAAAUUUCCAAGUCGUUAUUUGGUCACGACUGAUGUCAUAUUGAUUGUAGUUUUAUCUCCAUCCUAUACAUCACCACCUAUUUAUGAUUCGGAUUUCCUUCAGAAAAUAAUUUUAAAACCCAGGACUUUAAAAGCAUAAUAUCCAAGUUAAAUAGAGAGGGUUGGAUUAAAAAGAAAAAAAACGAAGCAUUUAGAAUAUGUCUCUGCAUUUUCCAACUACCUAUAUUAACCCCAACAAAACAAAAUAGGGCUGAUAAUUGAUCCAUCAAAACUGGUUUCAUGUAUCUAUUGGCACAAUACCAAUUCCUUGAAUGAAGUAUAAGAAAACGAAAAAGAUGCCUAAAUAUCAUGUGCUAUUUCUCCCUUGUUUUGUCCUGCCUUACCUUGCACGUCAUUGUUGCUCCUUAAUAGCACAAUUUCCAGCCCACAGCGCACCAGCUUCCAGGGUUUUUACCCUAUACCAUCCUAAUAUUAUCAGAAAUGUAAAAAUCUCACAACUGAAUUCAACACUUAUAAGUGCAGUAAAACAGGCGUAAGCUAUAAGCAGUAACAUGGAGCGAAUGUUACCGCCCUGAGUUUGGCGUGUAGUAGCCGCUAGUGACCAAUUAGUCUUUUUCUUCUUUUGUAGGGAGAAGAAUUUUUGUAGCCUUUCACACCAUCGGACACGACACUGUGUGGGAACUUUCACCUUAGAUUCUUUUUUCUUUUCCAAUUAAAUCGAAUCUCCGCCAUUCGUUCCACGUGCUGUUUAUCUAUAUGUUGCUUAUCUUCAGUCAAGCGGAUCAGGCUUACAAGGUUUAACCCUCUGCAGCUUUUUAUGAUACGAUGAUGAUGAUGGUUGUCACUUCUAAGCCACAACUUGGGGUUCAUAAAACCUGUUGAACUUGAAACCAAGCGUCAAGUUUUGGACGGAGUUCUUUAUGUUUAUAUACUGUAGUUUUCAAAUAUAAAAGAAAAAAAGAUUCGAAACUAUGGAGCGUUAUGAAAUUUUGAAAGACAUCGGGUCAGGGAACUUUGGUGUAGCUAAACUGGUUAGAGAUAAAUGGACAAGAGAGCUCUUUGCUGUUAAGUUCAUUGAGAGAGGGCAGAAGGUUAUUAUCUUCAUACUCUUUUUAUUGUCUGUUGAAUCUUUCCGGUUUCUUUCUUUUCUCCCCUGUUUUUAAUUGGAUUCUCUGUCAUGUUGAUCCAGAUAUCAUUCAUGGAUGUGUGGAUUAAAGGAUUUUGGUCUUUUUCCUGUUUUUUGUUGUAGAUUGAUGAACAUGUGCAAAGGGAAAUCAUGAACCAUAGAUCAUUGAAGCAUCCCAAUAUAGUUAGAUUCAAAGAGGUGGGUUUAGGGGUAUUCCUAUAUUCCAUGUUCCUUUAUUUGUCAGCGUCCUUGUCUUGUACCCUGUCUAGAUAAGCUAUGAUCAACGUUCCAUUAUGAUAGUUUUAGGCUCUGAUGUUUUUUACCACCCUUCUUUUCCCAUUAUGGAGAACCAAAGAAAAAAAAUGUGAAAGAGACAAUAAUGUUUAUGUAAUUUAUUCUUUUAAACAUUACUUUAUUCUUUAUUUAGUGUUGGUAAAGCAAAUUACUAUCCUCUGAAGCAGGAAACCGAGAGUAUGGAUAAGCAGAAGAUUUUAACAACUUUCCAAAUUGUUGUCUGUUGGCCUUAACAGGUUCUUCUUACACCCACUCAUCUAGCCAUAGUCAUGGAGUAUGCUGCAGGGGGAGAACUCUUUGACCGCAUUUGCAAUGCUGGUCGAUUCGGUGAGGAUGAGGUACAAUGAAAAAUGUGGACAACUUGAUGUUAAAUAAUAGUUAUGUUGCUCGGAUCCUUCAUGUUUCUUGAAGUUCUCAUGUCCGACAGAUUUUCAAAUGCAUGAUAAGCUUUGGAAACAAAAAAAAAAAAACACAUCGGUUUCAACACUUACAGCAUCUAACAUUCACAUUCGAAUCCGAGUAACAUAGUUUCUUAUGUAUAUAUCUUCUGUUGGAAUAAUAACAUUCCUUACCUUCUCUAAUGUUGAGUUCCAACAGGCAAGGUUUUUCUUUCAGCAGUUGAUAUCAGGAGUCAGUUACUGUCAUUCAAUGGUAUGAAACUCUGGCUUUUAGUUUCUUGGUUCUAAACUUGUCCAACAAAUUGUUCUGUCUCUGUUUUGCUUUGCGCAGCAAAUAUGCCACCGGGAUCUUAAACUUGAAAAUACUCUCUUAGAUGGCAGCACGGCACCGCGUGUCAAAAUCUGCGAUUUCGGAUACUCAAAGGUAUUAAACGGUAACUUAAUCAACAAGUUUACAACAACAACCUUGAUUUCGCUAACUAAUUAUCCUGCAAUUUUUGUAGUCAUCUGUCCUUCAUUCUCAACCAAAAUCUACUGUUGGAACACCAGCUUACAUUGCUCCUGAGGUUCUAUCCAAGAAAGAAUAUGAUGGGAAGGUAAUAAUAUCCUUCGUUACAUAUUCGGACUUGUUGAUCUAAGUAACAUAAUCUAUAUCUAAUCCUCCAUAACUAUAGAUUGCAGAUGUUUGGUCAUGUGGGGUGACCUUAUAUGUGAUGCUAGUAGGGGCAUAUCCUUUUGAAGAUCCGGAUGAUCCAAAAAACUUUAGAAAGACAAUUGGGGUGAGUGCUUGUGCUUCUACAAAACCUUGACCGUCACUUUCUCUUCAAAAUUAGACAUAAUUGAACCUGCAAAUGUGUUUGAGGCUUCCCUAACUUGAUUAUUUGGUGAUGGCAGAGAAUACUGACUGUCCACUACUCAAUCCCCGAUUAUGUCCGAGUUUCUAUGGACUGCAAGCAUCUUCUGUCUCGGAUAUUUGUGGAAAAUCCUGGAAAGGUAUCAUUUAAUCCAAUUGCUCCAAUAUUCAUCCAAUCUUUGUUAGGAUUGUUUGUAUUGAUCUUGUUCUCUCUUGUUGGUGCAGAGAAUAAGUAUAACAGAGAUUAAAAGCCACCCAUGGUUCUUAAAGAACUUGCCUAUGGAACUGAAGGAAGGGGGAAACUGGGAGAGCCAUGAUGUGAACAACCCUUCCCAAAGCUUGGAAGAAGUGCAGUCUAUAAUACAAGAGGCCAUGAAAACCACAGAGGUCCCCAAGGGCGGGGAAAUUUUCCUGGGAGGGAGCAUGGAUCUUGAUGAUGAUUUAGAUGGUGAUGAAGAUCUUGAAGAUGUAGAGUCAAGUGGUGAUUUUGUGUGCCCACUCUGAACCAGAUCACACAUAAAUAUAUAGACUAAUCAUCAAUCAAAAGAUUUGCUUUUUGUUUUUUGGUUUUUCAUCUUUUCUGUUCUAAUUUUGGCUCCUAGAAGACUCCCUUCUGAAUUACUAUAUUUCACAAGUUAUUAUAAUUGUGGAGGUUGGAAUGGAAUUAGUGAUUGAGAAUGGAGUAAGAGUAAUGCAAAGACUUGUAAUUUUAACUGAAACUGUUGUAUUAUUAUGAAUAAUCUAAUUGCUUUUAUACAUCAAACCAUAUUUUUUUAUGAUAAUUGAUACCCAAUUUAGAAGUACUCUGGUCUGUCUAAUUCUGAAUUUCUAAUGGAUGAUUCACCUCAAUUAAAUUAAACCACAUCUUGCUCACCCUAAGGAAAACAAAAAAUGUCAGAACCCAAUGUUUAGGCAAGAAAAGAUCCAGGCUUUCUGCUGCUUAAAGUCUUGCCUUGCCCUCUUAAUUUAUCAUCGCAGGUUCACAAUCAUUGCCUGCAAUUUGUUUGACUUUACAUCUUUCGCGUUUCAGUAAUGCCUUUUCUUUUUCCCUUUCCUGCAACUUUUUACAAAUUCACAGGGUUCGCUUUCUUUGUGUGAAGUUAUUGCGGUUUAAAUUUAAUUAGAAGAGUUAAUUGCACCAUACGUCCCUAAACUAUAAUCCUCAUUUUAAAUUGAUCCUCAAACUUCAAAACAUUCUAUUUAUUUCUCAAAAUUAUCCAUGUUAUAUCAAUAAGGUCCUUUUGUUAUUAAAUGACACAUCAAAUCUUAGGCAACUAAAUUUAAAAUGAAAAAUUUAAAGAUAUUUUUGCAUAAAUUUUAAAAGUAAAAGCUAAAACUAAAAUAAAAUUAAAAAAAGUAGCAAUGAUAAAACUUUUGUAAAAAUUUUGAAAACUUCAAAACUAAUAUUUUUAAAAUAUUCAUUUUUUCUUAAAUUUUUAAUUUAAAAUUAUGCCACAUAUAAUCUGACAUGUCAUUUAACAGUUAAAUUAACGGUUUUAGUGAUGAAAGAAUCUAAUUGACAUAACCUCAAGAUUUUAAAGAUGUAAUUAAAAUGUUUAGGGACCAAUUUAAAAUGAAGAUUAUAGUUUGAGAAUGUUUGAUUUAAUAAAACUUAUAAUAGAAUUAUAUAUAUAAAAAAAAACCCUUUUAAACUAAUCCCUAGAGGUUUUUAAGGUAUCAGUCAUGUCAGUAAAAUAUCGUAAUUAAAUUUCAAGCAUUAAAUUAGGAAUUUUAAAAUUAUGAAUACUAUCAUUAGAAAAUUUGAUAAAAUAGAAGAUGAAUAAACCAAUAUUCUUUUAUUAAACAAUAACUUAAUAGUCACAUUAGAUAAUUAUUAUAUCCACAUAAAUGAUAGAUAAUUAUCAUAGUCACUUAAUAGAGUAAUAAUAUCUUAAUCUUACAUUUUUUUUUUUGUUGUUGUUGUCAGUGAUGUAAAUAUAAAUAAAAUACAAUUGUUUAAAUUAUCUUGAUUUAUAUAGAGUGAUUGAGCGGUGAUUAAAACUUUUGUCAGACACUUAUUUAACAUGAGUUUAAGUUAUGAUAUCUCCAUCCUCUACCCUUAAGUAUAAAAAAAAAUUACUUAUAUUUAUCCGACUUUAUUUCUAUUUUAGGCAAAUAUGUUAUUUUUUUUAUACGUUUGACUGAGUUGAUGUCACUAUCAACUAGGUCUCAGCUCACUUGUAAGAUUACCAAAAAAAAAAUUUACAAAGUAAGAAAUAUAUGAUUAUGAUAGUAUUUAUCCUUUUUAAUGUCAUUUUAUAUUUUUAUAUAAAAUCUAAAAAUAUAGGUAAUAUUAUUCAAUAGUAUUUUAGUCUUUUCACUUUUAAAAAAUUCAAUAAAAAUAUGCAUGUGAUGAAAUUUUGAACACGCAUAAAUUAAAUUAGUAAAACUUUAAAUUUACCACUCAACCAAAGUUUCAUUUUAAUAUUUUUAUACAUUUUAAUUUUUAUGAUGCACACUUUAUUACCCUAUAAGUUGUAUCUAUACUAUUAAUAAAGUUGUUAACAAAAUUGGUGUCACGAGUCAACCGGACACCAACUCUGUUAAAAAAAUAAGUAAUAUUAUUCAAGGAGAUUUUAAUGUUUUCACUCUAAAAAAUCCAAUAAAAAUAUUAAUAUGAUGAGAUUUGAAACCUUAUUUGUGUUUUAUAAUUAUUGUUUCCACACACACGUAGGCAUAUAAAUGUUAUCAUUAAUUUCAAUUUCUUAUAAAUAUAUUUCUUAGAUCAAUUUUUGUGACUGAAAUUAUUAAGUAUAGAUUACACAUAGCAUACCAAAGAACUAACUAAAAAAAAGUAUAAAACAUGUAAUAAUUGGAUCAUGAAAUAGAAAAAAAAUAUCUGCGAAUGAAAACCAAAAAAUGGGUUAAUUUCCUUUUCCUGUAACUCCCAACUUCUGCAGAAGGUAUUGAGAAAGAUAAAAUUUUAAAAGGAAACGAAAGAGGAUAAAAAAAGUUUAAUAAGCUGCAGUAAGCAUUCAUCAGGGUGCUCUUAUGAGACGUGAAUCAAGGAAAGCCUUCAUAGUUAUUUAAUUCUCCCCAAACUUGAAGCUCAACUUCUUCCCAUGACUCUGCUGCUCUAAGUUCCUUCCAUGUUUUAAAUAGACCACCCAAUACAUUCUCAUCAUGCAAAAUACAGAAGCACCUGUACAUCCAAAUAUCCCACUUUAAUGUUUCACCUCUUAGUGGCCUUAUGCUGCAUAUCUAAUCAAGCAUUGCAUUUGAACCGCAAUAAAUAUCAUGGGAAAGAAAGUAACUGGAUUCUAUUUACUUACAUGGCAUGGUACGAAAGUCGUCCAUACUUAUCAUCAUCGCUACCUUGCUUCGGUGUUUUUCUCAUCAAAGAAAGUUUAUAGCUUUUCAGAAACUGCUUAAGCAGAUCGGAAUUCCCUCUAAACACAUCUAAAUGCAUGGGUAUCAAGUCAUUAAUGGAAUCACCUGCAAUAUCCAUCGUUUAUUUCCCUCAACACAACACUAAUCGAGAAUAAAAUAAUCUUUUAGGAAAAGAGUAACAGCUUCAUUUUGUUCUAAAACAUGGGGGAAAAGUUACUUGGGUUAAAACCAGAAUGUUUACAUGAGAAGUUAAGCAAAUAUCAUAUGGCUCUUGAAUAUUUUCAGUUGCAUUAAUCUCUCAUUCUCACUACACGUUUCUUAUGUUUGCACAAUCCAAUUAUGGUGCGAUUUAGUUUCUGUUGGCAUUAGCAAAUCCUCAUGUCUAAAGCAAAACAGGAAGGAGGGAUGAAGGAUUUACAAACGACAAUAGCUUUAGUCAUAGUAAAGUGGAAAGACAUCAAAUUAAGAUAGUGGACUGACCUACAGCAAGAUUACUGAAAUCAAGGAUGUAAGUAGGGCGCCAAGAUUUAGCUACUCCACCAUUACUUGUUGGCGCAGGAAUUCCAUUUGAGCAAGAUUUACAUUCCAUGUAAAUAUUGUCAUCCAUAAUAUCCCUGUGUAUCCACGACCAAGGCUUACCAACUUUUUUCAUGCCAUUUUCCUAUCAAUACACAAGGGCAUUAGGUAUAAUUGUACAAGAGGCUCUACCUAUAAGAUUAAGAGGAAAAAGAGGUAAUAAGAAACAGGAUAGUGGGACUAUAAAAGAACCUCAUAUAUAGAAAGCAGCUUCAGAAAAUCAUCUGGAAGGUAUGCUUCAGCUUUCUCUAUAAGCGUUUUAGGAAUCGAACCGCUCCUACAAAAUUUAGUAUAGAAUUUCAAAGGCAUUAUAUAAUCAGACACUAUGAUAAAGUAAGUAAAUAAAGAAGACUAAAACAAAUAGAAAGAAAAAAAAUCUGUAUCUGUGAAGUUGUUAUGCUCAUUGAGUAAUAUGCUAACACUCCCACUGAUUGACUGCAUAGCACAAUAGACAUUAUUCCCAAAUAGAAAAUAAACUACAGGCAAAUUUCUAGUAGGUAAGAAAAUUUUCCCCAUUAUAUAUAAAAAGCAGAAAUUAGGUCCACAUAAUGGUGAAAGAUUUAACCGAGAAAACAAGUAUUUGGCUGUAUAGCAUGAAAGAAGCACAGGUCAAUGGCUGUGCAAUUGGUAUUGUUCUCAAGAAGACUGAAGCAUGCAAUGUUUAAAAAAAAAACAGAUAUGACGUUUUGAAAAACAAACACAAUAUAAUUGGUUGCAAAACUAGGAGGUAAAAAUAAUAUUUUCAGUAGAAAUACUGGUGAUUGUAAAAGUUGAUGAACAAUCUCCAUUCCCAAAUUAGAUAUUAUACCGUUUACUCAAGCGGCCGGAAACAUUCUUCUUCUUCUCCAUUAAAGUUCUCACAAAGAUUUUCCAUUCAACUGGAAUAUCAGAUUCGUUGGAGACAAACUCCAUGUCCAUGUCAUUGGCAGAGGAAAACUCCCUAUUCUGUUCAAAAUCUGAAAGAUCUGAAUUACUGAAGGAAGGAUAGGGCAACAUAUGAAGGCUUCGUAGUUGCUCUCCUAAAAAGGAAGCUAAGUUAAGCACAUCUUCCCAUGGCAAUACAUUUCUUCUGCAAUAGAAAUUAAAUGGAAGCUUAACAGUUGCACCAAUCUACUUUUGACAUCUCAGGUUCUCUAAGUAAAGAUUCAUUCAGAAAUAAGUAAGAGAUUUCAGAGUAAGUACUUACAAUUCUGUAAAUAUCUCUCCUUUGCAACGCUUUGUUAUAAGAUAAGGCAGCAAGACAAUAGUAGAUUCAUCUGAAUCGUCUGGUCCAUUUUCUGGCGACACAUCUUUUCUGUACGUAAACAGUAUCUUGCUCUGAACACCAAAGGGAAAGACAUCACCUGUGCCCUUCUCUGGAAUCAAACUGCACUUUCUAAUCACAUCAGGCACUUUUUUACCAUUCCAAGAAUCAAUAUUGUAAGAUCCAUUUUCCAAGUGCAGAAUCCCACUAGCUAAUACAUUAGGAAUGUGGUUUUUCAGAGGAGAGUUAACUUCAGAAAGAGUGCUGUAGAAUUCAAGCUGCAAAGAAGGAAAUGUGAAACUUACAGUAUGUAAAAGACUCACAGACAUGAGUAUGAAAUAAGUAAACAUAUGUAGCUACCUCAGUGCCCAAAUCAAAUAUUGAAGAUUGCGGCCCUCCUUCAGCAAAGAUUUUGACCACAUAUUCAUCCAUGACAUAGACCUGUUGCAGAAAACUAGAACUGUCAGUUGAAAUACAAACGUUCUCUGCUGAUAACAUGACUGAGUUUAUAAAAUCUGUUGGUCAUCAACAAAUGACAUAGAGAUCAGAUCCUUUAACAGCAAAAUUCAUAUCAACAUGCUAAAUAAACAGCACUCAGAUCACAUGUUGUGGAAGACGUGUCUAUGUGUAGAUGCCAUCAUUCUUUACUCUAAGGAUGACUGUCAAAAGUUGAUAUGCCCAGUGGAGUAUGGUUAUGUGUCACUAGUGGGAAACAUGCCUCUGUACAAGGUAAUGACAAGCUCUGGAAUAUCCUUGAAGUGAUCUCUCACAAUUGGUUCCCCUAACUUUCCAUUCGUAAAAGGAAAUAAACUCACAGGAUUGCUGCCCAUUCCAACAGGAAGCUUUGCAUUCUCACUGGGAAAAGGCAAACUGUGAAAGAAGCAGAUUUUCCCCAAGCAAUCCAACCAUUUGUCUGCAUUUAGUGCAAGACAAGCUCCCUAAGACAAUGAGAGAACGUAAAUGAUAUUAAGUUAGCAACAAAAUAAAAUAUCACAUGCUAUGCCAAAGUUUUUGACAAAGCGAUAGCGAGAUAAAUAUCUAGUAAACACCAUAAAGAGUGCUUGCCAGAGAAGAAAACUUGCCAGACAUAAUUAUCCAAAUAUGUGAUAAGGGGAAUUUUGUUAUAAAGAAAAUCUCUUAAACAACCUAUAAGGGCUUCUAUCUGUAUUCUUCAACAAUUUGUGGUUUAGUUCAAGACUGAAUAUCUAAUAAAAGCAUGCCUAUUUUACCUCUUAAAAAAUGUGGGUACCUAUUUUAAUUUGCUUAGUCAACUCAUCCAUAGAAAGGGAAAAUGAAGUAAAAAGACUGACUUGGUGGGAAGAAGAUAUUCGUGCAAGAAAUGUGACAUAACCUUCCAAAUCAUUUCUCUCUUUCCAGGAUUUCCAACCCAAAGCCUGGACAGCCAUUCCCUCAAACCUCGCUGCCCUAAGGAAUUGUCUGGGCACCAUGGAGAAGUAAAGUGGUCUAGCUCUCUAUUCCGAAACAUGGCCAAGUAAUUUAUAUCAAAAGAAAAAUCGUGUUCCCAUACAUUAUAGCUCCCAUUAGCAUUUUCUUUUCCAUUUUCAUUCUGUUGAGGCCUUAGAAUUCUGGCUUUCGUCUCUUUCUUUAUCAAGUCUAAGCACCUAAAAUUUUCUUUCUCGCAGGGCAUGUUCUUCUCGAUGAUCUCUAAACUGUCUUCAUCAAGAGCAAGCAAACCAGCACGACAUACUCCUCUAUGACAGUAACCCGGUGCCAUAUCUAGACAUACAAAUUCAAAGUUUCUAGAAUUCACAAAAUUUUGUGUCACAGCGAUGGCUGUUUCCAGAUUCAGGACACAGUGCCACCAUCCGCUCGGAACAAAAAUGGUCUCCCCAGGCAGUUGAGUACACUCAAUUGGCUUGUUUUCAUCAGCAAGAAGCGGAUAGAAAUCAAGCCACCACUGUACAGAAGCAAAGAAGGAUCCAGCAAAAGUAACCCCAAAAAAAAGUGACAAGAAUUAGGAGAUAAAACACAGGUCCUGGGAUAUCAGACCUAUAUACCUGCAAUGAAGUUGGAGAAUCAACACUAAUAUCACCAUCUUCAUCGUCUACAUGCACUGUAACACCCAAUGGAACUGUUCCUGGGGGAUACAAUGCCCACCUGUCCAAAAAUAUUUAGACAUGUCAUCCUGGAUAUCAGCUCUUCAACUACAGUGAAGCAACAAAAUGUACUAUCCUAUGCUGCUAAAAAAAUAAAAUUAUCGGCCAGUUCGCACAACAGUAUAAGGUCCAAUGAAACAGAUAAAAGAUAAAAUGAAAUAAAUUUGCUGGAGGUUGUUCAUAAAUGAUCUCCAUGAACAGACGUGUACUAUUUGUUAAGCUUGAUGGAGGCACAUGUAAAUUCCAAAACCACCAACAUGAAAGCAUUUUAUAAAUACAGAGGUAAUUUAUCAAAAAUACCUUUUACGACCACAUAGAAGAGUAUUCCAGGCACUGGUAAGUCCGGGAUCAACAAGCCAAGAGGCACCAGACCUUGCUGGACCAAUAACAAGCCAUCUGAAUGAUGGUCAAUUUUUAUCUAAAACAUCAAAGAAGUCUUCUUGAAAUAUUUGGGGUACAGUGUAAUCUUUCAACAAACCAGGUGCAGAUUCUCCAAACUGCAUGGCAAACAAUCAAAGUACUUACGAAACUUUCCAAGAAGGUCGCUAUCUGAUUAAUUAUAAUCCUGCACUUUAAAAAAUAGUAUAAAUAUUAUGACUACCCUAGACUCACCUUGUCAUCGAAAAUAUAAAGAGGAUCCUCAUCAUGCUGUUGUUUCAUGUACGAUACAUAAUCUUUGAAUGUCAUCGAAACUUUUAAAGGGGAAGAAAUCUUGAAUUUUGUAUCUCCAUAUUUGGGCACUAGCCAGUCAAUUGUCCAAGAUUUCCUUGCAGGCCAAGUAUCGGCCAAUCCAUUAAGCAAAACCUGAAAUGUCAAUCAGCAAGAACCCCAUUCAAAAAGCACGCAACUAGUAACUUACAGUUGCAAAUGCAGAUUGACUGACUAAUGAAGAGCGAAACAUUUACAGAUAUAGUGAUUUCUUCUAAUAAAUGUAAUUUAAGUACGCAGUAAAACUCUAAAAUCAUUACAAUCAUUUGAAUGAGUGAGUUCAACAUGAUGUACUAAAAAACAAACAAAAAAUAUGUAGGGGAUACCGGUUUAAUCCCAUCAUAUUCGCGAUGAAACUGUUCUGCAGAUAUGUCAUUUUUUCUUUCAACAUUUCCAUCAUCAAACGAAAACCCGUCUAAUGUUGUAUGGCAUCUAUAUAAUCUUUUGUAUAAGAAUGGAGAGCUAAAUCCUACCCAAAAGAGAAAGAAGAUUACUCAAAUCAAUACCAUCAUUUCCAAAAAGGAGAAGUGUUUGUUUUCAUAAAAACAAAAUCACGAGGCUAUUUACCAUCAAACUGCAAUGGUUUUCUGCAAAAUUCUAUAUACUCAUUCGGCAAAUUCUCUCUGAAUUGCAAAAUUAAAAAUAAAUUAAUAUAAAUCCGUACAAAGUCAGACUAAAACUUCGAUUAAAAAGGAAAUCAGAAAAUUUUAAAUCUGAGUUGCAAAGAGCAGAAUACAAAUGCAAUGUUGUCUUUUUCCAGGAGCCUUUGUAUUGAAUGUGACCACUGACUUUCUUGAGACAAACACUCAUCCAAAGCGGCUCUUCAUUGCAGAAUAUAUACAUAAAACUAACAGAUACAAACACCAAAACAAAUAAGACACUUCAAUUGAGAAUAUAAAAAUUGGCAAAGAAAAGAACAGAGAGCCAUAAAAAAAUAAUAAAACCUGCUGACACAAGCGAGACGAGCGAGGUCUAGAGGAGUGAGACAAUCUAAGAUGGUGCAAAUGAUUUCGUCGGGGAUAUAUUUGAAAUCGCCUAGGGAGUCGGCUCGCCGGUCUCUGAUCGGGAAAGUAUGAGAUUGAUGAAGAAUUUCCAUUGAAGAAGGUAGACGACUGGCGAUCGAUCCAAGCAAAGUAGCAAAUAGAAAACAGUAGAAAGCAGGGAGGAAGGAAGGUUUACGUUUAAGACAAGAACUGGUUUGGUUUGGUUUGGUGUUGUCAUUUAAACAUUUUUGCUACGAAAGGAAGAACGCAGGGCAUGUUGACACGUAUCCAACUUGUUCCUUUCGCGCGCUUUUACCGUUUGCUCCGUAGGAUUUGCUCACGCGCCCUUUACCUAUUCAUUUUCUUGUUCCUUUUCUUAAAAUUUAUUGUCAAAAAAGCCCUUAAAAAAUACAAAAAAUAAUUAAGUUCAUGUGUUAAAUUCUCACCCAAUUAAGUUUCCGCCGUUAAUUAAAUAAUCAAUUAAGAUUAUCUGUUAAUAAUUUUCGUCAUUAAUCAUAUUAACUGUUAAAAUAAAUUGAUGAACCAAUCAUAUGGUGACAUGUGGCAACUUUUGGUUUAAUCUAAUUUUUUUCCAUACAAAACAAUUAAAAUAUUUAGAAAAAUUAGAAAAAUUAUUAAAAAUUAUAUAAAAUAUAAAAUAUUAUAAAAAUAUAAAAAAUUUAUUUAAAAUUAAAAAAUAUAUUAGAAUUCUUAAAAAAUAUUUAAAAAUUAUAAAAAUACAUUUAAAAUAUUAAAAUUGAAAUAAAUUUAUAAAAAUAAAAAUUUGAACUGGACCAAUCAGCCCGAAAUCGACAAGAAUUAAUUUGAGGAAAGCCAUUAUAUUGAUUGAUUUGGGAAUCAGGUGAUUAAACUGACUUUUUAUUUUUUUUAAUAUUUUUUUAUCAAACUAAAAUUUCAUUAUCCAAAAAAAAAAUUCAUUAUCCAACUAUUAGCACAUGUUAGAAUGAAAUAUUCUGACCAAGGUUUUCAGAACCGGCAUGGUGGUCAAAUUGGUCAAGUCAUUGGUUUGUUAGUUUGACUUAUCUAUCCAGUUCAAUUAAUUAAAAAAUAAAAAUAAAAAAUCAGUCAAACCAUCUGGUUCCUAGGUCAACCAGUUUAAUGACUUUCUCCGAACUGAUACUCUUGCCGAUUUCGGUCUAAUCGGUCCAACCAACUGAUUAGAUCCAAUUCAAAUUUUUAUGUUUUUUUUAUAAUUUUUAUAAAUUUAUAUUAACUUCAAUACUUUUAAUUUUUUAUAGUUUUUAUAUUUUUUACAAAAUUUUAAUACAUUUUUAUAAAAUUUUAAAUAUUUUAAAUAUGGUUUAUAAUUUUUAUAAAAAAUUAUAUUUAUUAUAAUAUUUAUAAGUUUAUAUUAAUUUUCAUAUUUUUAAUAUUCAAUAAUUUUUAUAAUUUUUCUUUUUUUAAGAUUUUCUAAUAUUUUUAUGGGAAAAAUAUUAGACUAAACCAUAAGCUAUCAUGUGUAACUAUAUAAUUGUUUCAUCAAUUUAUUUUAAUGGUCAACAUGAUCAAUGACGAAAACCAUUAACGAAUGGGCUUAAUUAAUUAUUUUAAUUAACGGCAAAGGCUUAAUUGAUGCGAAUUUAAUACAAUGACAUGUCUAUCUUAGGGAGAUAAAUCUCAAAAUUAUAUAUAAACCUUUUAUUCUCAAAUGGCUUUUUUUAAUAUGAUUAUUCUUUUUAAUGUAAAAAUGGGCUUCUAAUAAAUUCAACAAUUAUUAGAUAUGUAAAGAGGAUUGAGGGAUCGAAAAUUAAAAUUUAACCUUUAUUUUUAAAUAUAGAGAAAGAAAAAAGCAAAGGAGAAAGUGGCAGAUGGACAAUGAACACUACUUUUUUAGAUGACUUAUACUAUAAAGUCCACGUGCCAUCAUCUGAAGACCAACAAUGGCAUAAAUAUCUGUCACAAAACAUAUUUUCCAUAGGAUAUAGUAAUAUUUAUACUUGUCGUAAAAGUAAAUUAAUAGAUGAAGCAAAAGUUACCCCUCUUCUUUCAUUUGAAAACAUCAAUUCUUUCAUCAUCCGCAUGACCACAAUAAUCUUGGUAUUUAGAAUUCAGCCAUAGCUUCUUCUUUUUUAUUCCUCUCAUAUCCGUACGUUUCCAUCCAGUAUGCACAUACAAUACACCACACAACUCAAGAAUCCCAAACUAAAAAAAAUAUUAAUAAUGCCAAUAACAACUUAAGCGAGGGGAAAAAAACGGGGGACAAACAUAUUUUUGGUAAAAGGCUAGCGGCAGGAUCCUUGACCACCACUUUACAGCCCUGUGAUUAGUGGUUGCAGUUGCUGUGAGUUGAUCCUCCUCUUUCUGAGGCGCUCGGCGAUAAUGAAGGCGAGCUCAAGAGAUUGGGAGGCAUUCAAACGAGGGUCACAGUGGGUAUGGUAGCGUGAACCCAAGUCAUCGAAUGUAACAGUCCGGGAUCCCCCGAUGCAUUCUGUCACAUUCUGUCCAGUCAUCUCUAGAUGAACUCCUCCAGGAUGACUUCCCUCUUGCUCGUGCACGUCAAAGAAAGCUCUCACUUCAGCCUGUCGAAAAUGGAUGUGAAUUAAUUAUGUUAUUGAAAAUUAGACAAACGGAUUGGCUACUACCAUCUAAAUAAUUGGAAGCCAUAGUAAAGUAGGAGAAUAAAACAGUGGUAGCAAAAUUCAAUUGAGAAUCAUCAAGAAUAGUUAGAUAAUCUUUAAAUAGAUUUUAUAUUGCAAUAUGGGUUUUGAAUCAAUCAUGAGUCGGGGAAAUAUGACCACCUACCAACUGAAAACAUAUUCUUCCCGAAAAUUAUUAUAAUCAUUACUUUAAGUAAUCUCAUUUCGUGAUUUGGUCCAAACAACUUUAAGAAAUCUUCUCUUUCUCACCUACCACACCAUCAUAUAUUUGAACUGAAAACUCUCCUCCUCGAAAAUAGACUAAUUUUUUUAAGAUGCAAAAUGCAACCACCCAAAUGGAUUGUUUUCGUUUCUUCACAAUGUGAUUGCUGUAAUGAGUGAACCUUCGAUUUUAGAAUCAAGUUUAACCCCACCAUGAUAAUAUGUUUGACUUCAAACUCUACCUAGAAAAUGUCAAACUUUUCCUUUUGAAAGGACAAAAUGAGGCCACCCGAGGGAUUUAACAUUGAAGCAAUUAUCAAUAGCCACUCCUCCUUUACUUUAUGACAAGAGGCAGAGAAAAUGCUUCUAAAACUAAAACAUUGAAGCACUUAUGAAUGGAUUCAAGAUGCAAACAAAUUGUAGCCCAUCUUUUCGAGCAUCACAUGUUAGUCCAUCUUAAAAUGUUCACAAUGAUAAACGUUUAUUCAAAUUAUGGUCCUCAGUUACUAUGACCCUUCCCUUUUUUGAACAAGGUAAUAAUUUUACCAUAAAAAGACCUGUCAUUUGUCAUUUCAUAUCGUGAGAAAGUAUUUAAUUGGACUCGAUAAAUUGCAGGAGUCCCUAAUUCAAAGGGGUAAGUGAAUAACACACAAAAUGACAAUUUAAGUCCAAUGAAUUAUCAGUAAUUAAUCCUUCAAAGUAAGAGGUUGAGUAAUGAUUAACAUACCCUUAUGGAAUCGAAGGGGCGAGUUUUGAGACCACAAGGAGCCUUGAUGGUGUUUCCAUGCAUAGGGUCACUGACCCAAGUGACAAUUUGCCCAGCACGACGCACUGCCCUAAUUAGAUGGGGAAGCUUCACUCUCAUAUUCUCAGCACCCAUUCUUGUGAUAACUGUAAUCCUUCCAGCUUUGUUCUGAGGGUUCAAAAUUUCAAUCAGCUUUACUAGUUCAUUCGGAUCCAUCUUAUCACUCACCUGUAGCAGAAAAGCCUCUUUGUUAGUCAUCUCACUCUCACAGAUAUAUAAUCAAAACUCAUAUUUAUUUGCAAAUAUUAAGCAUCGAAACUGCACACUUGACAAAAUAUAACCAAUUGAGUUGUAUAAGAUCCAUAGUUCAAUACCUCUUUUCUUAAACAAGAUAUAUAACUGAUUAUUUAGAAACAUUAGACCAGGGUGUCAUUACCUUAAUUCCAAGGGGAUUAGCAACUCCUCUCAAAAACUCAACAUGAGCACCAUCCAACUGUCUUGUUCGUUCCCCGACCCACAGGAAAUGAGCAGAACAAUCAUAGUAACGGCCUGAAGUAGAAUCAAGCCGGGUAAGUGACUGUUCGUAAGGUAAGAGCAAGCACUCAUGGGAAGUCCAGAAUUCAGUUGUUGUCAUGAUAGGAUGGUCAACUGUAAGUCCAGCUGCAGCCAUGAAUCC
RNAcentral lists this long non-coding RNA (58810 nucleotides) under Gossypium barbadense (sea-island cotton). RNAcentral describes it as "long non-coding RNA (GBAR_LNC016207)". The record is from RNAcentral. Lineage: Eukaryota; Viridiplantae; Streptophyta; Magnoliopsida; Malvales; Malvaceae.